RNAcentral lists this long non-coding RNA (87182 nucleotides) under Citrus x clementina. Its description in RNAcentral is "Citrus clementina (C. clementina) long non-coding RNA (CCLE_LNC004466)". Lineage: Eukaryota; Viridiplantae; Streptophyta; Magnoliopsida; Sapindales; Rutaceae. The record is from RNAcentral.
AUUUAUGGACAUUCGUAGAACUCUUAGCUGCUUCAGUCCCAGCAGGGCGUUAAGUCGACAGCCUUGUGUGUUAGACUGACUCGCCACCCGAAAUCCAGACAGCUCCUGGAGAUAAAUUAGCUUCUCGAGUCCACGAGGUAGAUACUGGAGAGGACAAGAUCCGAGGUCCAAGAUGAUCAGCUUCUUCAAACUAGUAAUUGAUGGAUGUAGUUUGGUGCACCUCCUCAGAACAAGUAUUUGGAGAUUACGAAGCUUUUGAAUUGAAGAUGGGAGCUCAAUAUUGCCUGCAACUCCGCUUAAGUUGAGACAUGCAAGGCGUUUAAGUGAAGAGAUCUUAUCCAAUAGAUCCUCAACAUUAAUUUGAUCAAGCUUACAGUAUGAGAAAUCCAGCACCCUCAGUGACAUGAGCGAUUUCACAUUCCAAAGGGAAACUGGAGUGCUUGAUUGCAGUAUCAAUGCCCUGAGCCUUGAACUUUUUUUCAGGGAUUUUGGAUCCAUGUCACUGUUGAAACCGAACCAUCGCGAGUCUUGUGUCAAUUUCUGCCUGCCUUGUUCAUCAAAGCUGCAAAAAGCCUCAUCUUUUGCAAUCUGAAUGGUCAUAUCCCUGACCAGAUCGUGCAUCUUGCAACUAUAGACCCUGCCAUCAUAGCCUCUUCGAUGCACAACUUCAACCAAGCAUCUGCUUACUAGCUCUGAAAGAUAAUCAAAGCUUAAUUCCGUAGCAGUCCGAUUGUCCCUGCCCCGGACGAGUCCUUCUCCCACCCACCAAUGUACCAUCUGUUCACCACUUAUCUCAAAGUCGUCGGGAUAAACAGAGAAACACAAGAGGCACUGCUUUAGAUGUGUGGGGAGUUCAUCAUAGCUCAGUCGUAGAGAAGCCACCACCGAAUUUUUCUCUCUUUCGGUUGUCAAAUAUAUAUAAAAAUCAUCAUUGAUUUUAUUCCACUCACUAAGGGAAUGGGCUUUUGGAGCAAGCAAGCCUCCUAUUGUCUUGAUUGCCAGCGUUAGUCCCCCGCAUUUCAUCAAGAUCUCUCUACCUUUUUUAUCAAACUCCUUAUUGGGGCAUUUUCCCUUGCUCGUUAAAAAUGCAUGCUUGCAGAGUAAUGACCAACUCUCCUCUUCAUUUAAAAUUUUUGGGCGAUGAAUUCUUGACUCAUCAACUCCCAUACUGUUGACAACGGUUUCAUUUCUAGAUGUGAUGAUAGCGAAGCAUCUUUUUUCAGUCGGAUAUAAAUUCUUCCACCAAUCUAGAUUCAUUCUCCACACAUCAUCCAUUACAAUGAGACAGGUCUUGUCACUGAGCCUCUGUUGAAUUUUGUGCAGCAAAUGGCUUUCUUCAAUUCCCGAUUCAUCCUCUCCCAGCUGUUUCAACAUGGCCCUCAUGACUCGUUCCUCGCUGAAAUUCUGAGAAACUGGCACCCAUAUCCUCUUCUCAAAGUAUGCAACCAUCUCUCCAUCAUUGAAUAUCUUUUGGGCAAUGGUGGUUUUGCCUAAACCACCCAUACCCACAAUACCGAUUUGCUGAAGCUUCUCAUUACUGCUAAGGAUCCACCCUUUAAUCUUUUCCAAGUCCUUCUCCAAACCGAUUAUUUCAGAUGGUUCCUGGUCCUCUGGGGAAUAUUUAAAUAUUUGGUAUGAUGAAUUAUUAGGCCCCUGCUGGAUGAUUGGCUGUUCUGCUCUUCCAUACACCCCCAAGCUAGACUCCAUUUUCUCAAUCCGUGAAUUGAUAUGCUUCAAAUCGUUGCCUGUUUGGUAUAUGAAAAACAAGUCACGAAGUGAGAACCUGUGGCAAAACCCAUCUUUCCGAUAUUCAUCUCUAAUUUGGCAAUCCGUCAUUAUGUCAUCAGCUUCAUAAAUUAUUUUUCUCAGGUUAGGCAAGAUCUUCUGUAUGAACUCCCCCCAAGUUUUCUGCUUAUCAGUGCAGGAGAUGAAGGCAGUCAUUAGCUCAAGCUUUGUCUUCAUUGCCUCAAGCUGAUCUUUAAAAUCAAGUGCGUACUGAGCUUGAGUCAGCAAAGCAGAAAACACUCUCUCUAUCAAUGUCCCAAUCAUCGCCUCUGUCGCUUUCGACGCCGCCAUAUCCUCGGGCAAAUGUUCCCUGUUAAUUUCAUGUUCAUUAUCAUCUCAGUAAAGCAUACAUCUUAUGAGCUCGUAUGGGCUUCUGCUACAACCAUACAAUCAUGACACACAUAAAGUACAGAUGGCAGAAAAGAGACUAGCACUUUCAGUACUAGGAGGGACAAGACAAAAUAUAUAAUGGAUCAUCUCAUUUCCAUGGGACUUGACAGAACAUCUAUCAGAAUAGUGAAGUCACCCAACAACAUUGAUCAGAGUAAAAUUGUGUCAUAUGCGUGAAUCGACAGAAUGAUAGAUUGUUACUAGUCAGAACAUAAUAAUGUAUCGAAAAAAAACUGAGAAUUGAAGCUAAGGUCUAGCUCACUUUCUUAGGACUCAGGUCUUAGGUUCGAGCUUCAGUAGAACAAGUUACGAAUUGGUUCUCUGCGUAACCAAGGAUCAAAUACAAUAAUUUAUUGAAAAUAUAUUUAUCAUAACUUUAAAAUUAAGAGAUACAACGACAAAUAUUAACUUAAUAAAAGAUCAUCAUCGACCGUCAAAUUCUAUAGACACGUUUAUAAAUUUUCAUGUUUAAAUUCACAUCAAUCAGAGAUUUAGCAAUUGCAUGGGUGAUGGUCGAUGAAUCGUAAAAGGGUUUUAAGCAGAAGCACUUACUGGAAUCCUGAAAGUGUGUGUAUGUAUAUAGCUUGACUGGGCUGAACAGAGAGUAUGGUAGAACCUGAAACCCAAAAAACAAAUUGAGUUUUAACAGUCAGAGUAGAUUGUUCAGCUGAAUAUAACAGAGUACCAUGUAAACAAAUUAUUUUUAUUUUUACUUGUAAUUCCUAGCUGGCUGUUCAACGUUUCAGUUCGCUUAAUCACUCACUAGCUCUUAUCUGGCUCUGGUAAUUUGAUUUCUAUUGCCGAUAUUUAUUAUAUAGGAGAAGACAUGCCAGAAUUGAUCAAAUAACAAGCCACCUGCGCUUUGUAUUUUGAGGGUACAAGAAAAGAAAGUGAAAAAAAUAUUUUGACUGAUUAAUAAAAGUUGAAUUGGUUAAAGUUGAAAGCUGUUGGAAUUUGGAGAUAAGAAGCAUUUAUAUUCUCUUCUCUUCACAACAAUCCAAUUUUGUUUAAUUAAAUAUCAUAACAAUUAUAUUUUUAAUUUUAACAAAUUAUAAAUUUAUGAUUUGAAUGAGACUACAUAGUUGCAUAAGAAUUUUAAGAAAAAAUGUUAUCUUCGUAGUUUAUGGAAAUCAUUAAUUUAGACCUUUAGCCCAAGUUGGUACUAUGUAAAAUUAUUAUAUAAUAGAGUUUAUUAACUUAUCUGAGUAUUAAAUUGUAGUGGAUUUACUAUAUUAACCUAAGUGGUGAUCUUAUUUGCAGUACUAGAGAAGUUUUGAUGGUAUAGUUAAUGGGACAAAGAAGAAUUGCAGUAAAAAGAGUGCGUGAAAAAAAAUUCAAAAUAAUAAUGAUCUUAAAUUUUCUAAUUUAUUUCUUACCUAAUUAAGGAUAAUUUUGGGUUCACAGUAAAAUAUGUAGGGAUAUAUAUGAAAUUAUAUUGAAGAUAAAAUUGAUUCUCAAAAUUAAAUUUUGAAAAACUACUAUCUCCUCGCUUUUCAAAAUCAACUAUAAUAUAGUAUACAAUUAUUUUGACAAAAGUGAUUUUUAAGAAAAUUUAUCAAACAGUAAAGUUAACUUUUAAUUUUAAAAAUUAUUUUUGAGCCUUCUAACAGAAAUUUCAAACAAAUCCCAAAUAUUUCUAAAUAACCAAGUAUAACAUUACUUAUAAAUAAAUUGAAGUGGUAGGUUAUUCUGUCCCAACAGUCAUUUCUAGGCCAGUAUAUCACAUACAAGCAGAAGGUUCUGUAUCGAUUCCUCUCACUUGUUUGAAUGCUCGAAUGUCUGAUGUCACAUACCAUCAACAAAUAGUUUGCUUAUCAAACAAAGAAGAACUUUUUCAAAAAGCAAAAGAAAAAAAAAGAAGACUCUGAUAAAAUCCUGAGAAUAUAGUCUUUUUCUUUGCAGGUGAAUUCGUAUUCAAAGGGCCCGAUAAAGCCUGAAAAUAUUAAUUGAUACUAUUCUUGUUGAAUUUUUAACAGGCAUGAAGAACAAUUAUAGGCUGGCAUUAUUGUUGUAACCCAAAAUGAAGAGAAUCAAAAUAAAACAAGAAAAGGGAAACUGCUUUAUUCACAAUAGGAAAAUAAAAGUACAUAUAUUAGUCACAAAAGUCAAAAUCAAUAUUUUUUUUAGAUAUUUCUGUCAAAAAGAAGAAUAAAUAAAGAGGUUUAAAAGUUUAAUGAUUAUUCUCGGUCGAAGCAAGGAGUGGGUAUGUUCGAAUUAAAAGUUUCAAUUAGAUUAAAUAUGAAAUUGAUUCUCAAAACAAAAUUUUAUACUGUUUCCAAGUUCUUCAAACAGUUUUAGUUUACUGACCAUUUGAGUUCAAGAGAUUAAAAAAAUUAAUUUUCGUUUUGUGCACCCCCUCUAUCUUUUACGGGUGGGGUAAAAUUUUGAACAAAGUCUAUAGUAUUUGUGGCUUUGUUACACACACGGCCAGAUUUUGGUCCGAUUUUUCUGUUUAAGCCUUCAAAUGAUCUUUAUUUAUUUAUUUAAGAAAUUUUAAGAAUGUUUUCAUUGAUUUUUUUUUUUAUCCGCCUGGUUUUGGGAAUUAAGGAUACUUUGUUUCAUUUAUUUUAUUUUUAAUUUAUGGUAGGUUAGUAGUAAUCUCAUAUUAAAAAUUCGUGUUAUUGCAUCCUUGAAUGUUUUCAUUGAUGGUUUAUCUAAAGGUAAUCCAGGUAGCUCAAUUUGUGGUGGUGUUUUUUGAGAUUACACGGGAUCUUUUUAGGUGCUUUUGGUCUUUCUUUAGGCAUUAACACUGCCUACUUUGCUGAAAUUAUGGCAGCUACGUUAGCUACUGAAUUUGCUCAUGACAAGGGUUGGUAUUGUCUUUGGCUAGAAAGCGACUCUAUGUUAGUCAUUCAUCUUUCUUCCAAUCCUUCGCUCAAUCCUCCAUGGGGUAUUCAUAACAGAUGGUUGAAUUGUUGUAAUCUCAUCAAUUCUAUGGUGUUUAGAUUCUCUCAUAUCUUCUGAGAAACUAACUAUGUGGCUGAUCAUUUAACUAACUUGGGUCUUAUUUGUGAUUCUCUCACUUGGUGGCAGACUCCGCCUUUAGAGAUUUUGGGUUACUUUCUCAUGAUGCCAAUGAAUUUCUAAAAUAUCAUUUUAUAUGGUUACCUCUUUUGGUUUAACUUCAUACUUUUUUUCUUUUUUCUACUUUAACUUCUCACAAAUUUUAAGGGAUAAAACUCAUUAUGUCCCCUCUAGACAAUUGUAAUUCCUUUCUUUUAUUUUUUUGAUUAAUUAAUUCAGUUUAUAAAAAAAAAUUGACCAGUAUUAUUACUCUAUGUAUUAGCAUUAAAUCACACAUUAUUAAUGAAGUAAAAAUGAUAUGACGGAUCCAAUUUUAGUAGGUUUACCAAGUUCAAUUAAAGGCGGAUUAAACAAAUUAAUGUGUAAAAAUAAAACAAACAAGAGAAUUUUUACAUGGUUUAGGAUUCAAAUCCCUGCAUCCAUGAUGCCACAUUUAGAUAUCAAAUAAUUCACUAGGUUCAAGAGAUUACAAACUAUUGGAAUCUUACACGGUCUGAGACACCCUCUAGUGAUUGUGGCCACCUUGUCAUAACCUAACCAAGUGACCACUUUGUGUGCACCACAUGACUUUUGCUUCCUCCCCAGAGCAAGACUUCUUAGUCAAUGGUGUGUCACCUCUCUGUAAAUUCCCUCUACCGCGAACAUGUGACCCUUCUCGUGAAAAGACUAGAGACAAUGUCUCCCAAAUCAAAGAAUGAUCACAAGGUUGUAGCCUCUGAAGUAGAAUCCUUUUAGUAAAAUAUAUGAAUGACUCACCUUUAUACAGUGACAAACAAAUCACGCGUAAUGAAGAGUCUAAAUUUUUUUCCUUUGAUAACUCCCAAAGCCUUUAGAUGUAUAAGGAACUCUUCACGAUAAUAUAACAAUAUUAUCUCUUCAAUAUCUGUUUAUCAUCUGCUUUAAAUCAAAACAAUUUAAUCUCAAUCUUCAAUGAUCACGCCAAUUGUAUUUUCCAUCUCAAGGAAUAUUGCUUGCUUGAUCUUGAUAGAUAACAUCUAUGUAGAGAUUGAUUUAUCUUAAACUACUUUGACCUUGUUGUCCGCAUGUGAAGUAACGCCAUGUCUUCCAUCUUCUCUAUGGUUCACGCCAACUUCAUCAUAUAAGUUUGCCUUAUGCGUUUCGCUCAUGCUAAAAUAUCUCUGUAUAGACUAAUGUGGACCUCACAUACAUGUAAUAUGUAAAAUCCUAAUUUGCCUGUAUUUGCCGUCGUUCCAAGGCACUGUUGUAAUACUUGAGAUUAACUAAAUUACGUAGGUAUUAAAAUAUUAAUGAAGACUCAAUGAUGUGUACAAUGAGGAUGGCGACGUACAAAUAUUAAAUGGAUGUUGUAUAGAAAUACCAACAUUCAUACAAUGAAAUUCCUUUUUUUUUUCCCCAAAAAACUGAAUAUUGAAACUGAUUCAAUUUCAAUCACCCGCCCUAAAAGUUGCAUGACAGCUAGAACAGAUCCAAGAACACAAAAAGUCUGCGAAUUAAAGGACCAGAAAAUUGGAGAAUUACUUUAUCGUAGCAUCUUUCUUUUCCUUUAAUGGAGUGAAUAACGAAUCGUGUAAUCUGGGAAUUAUUUAAGAAUCUAAAUAGAAACAAUCUGUCACCACUGAUACUUGCUGGAUUAUAUUAGUGCCAUUCCUGAAGUUUGAAGAGCUUUAGAGCCACGAAUCUAAUCUUCAUGAAUUUUUUUUUUUUUUUGGGAUAAGCUGCAUGGAAAUUUCAAGAAAUCGCUGAUUGCGAAAAACAAGUGGAAAACAUUUAAGACCAAUGCGUGGUUAAAACUUAACACACCACCUGGGAUCCGUGUCUUCCUUCAGAAGGAUGCUUCCCAAUCCCUUUAAAAUCGCUUUAGUUGAUCAGGUAUGCGUAUAAAGAAAAAAAAAAUUAGAAUACAUGUAUGUCGGUUCAGUUAAUCAGGUAUGCGUAUAUCGUUUUAUAAAAAGAUUCCGCAAUUGAACUAAAAUUUUAUAAAAUUGAAACUAUAAUUUUUAUUACAAAAAUCUCAAAUUUUAUUAAUGACAUAAGAAAUUAGUUUUUUUAAACCUUAUUUACCAUAAGACUCCAAUAAUAACUUGAACUUACUAUCGGGUUACUAUUACAUGAUAAUCUACCAUGCAUAAAUUAAAGAUAAAAUAAAUGAAGCAAAGGACCCAUAAUCCAACAACCAGAACAUAUAAAUCAAUGAGAACAUUCUAAAAAUUUCUGAAAUAAAGAAAUAAAGAUCAUUUGAAGGCUUAAACAGCAAAAUUCGACAAAAAUCUGGCCACAUUUAAACAAAGCCACAAAUUCUUUACAUUUCGUUCAAAACUUGAAACAAAAUAUCAUGGAGGGUCUGGUUAACAUAUUACCCGGCCACAUAUCCUCGAUCAAAUGGAAAUAGAUGCCAACACAUCCACACUUUGCUUUGACCGGCCUACAAUUAAUUAUUAUAAUUUUAAACUCCUUUUCUUUUUUUAUUUUAUUUUUGAAGGAUAUGUAUGAUACGUGUGCUUUGUAAGACUUGGUCAUCAGUUCUGUUAAUAAACUAGUGGAGCUAGUCUUUAGCAUUAAUAAACUAGUGGAGCUAGUCUUUAGCAUUCUGUUUUGAGUUUUCUGUUAUAAUACCAGGUGAUUUGGUCUUGUUGUUUAGUUUCCAACUGUAAGACUAUUAUAAGUAGUCAGUUCUGAGUUGAAUAAAGCGGAAUUACAGAAACAUUUUCCCUCUCUUUUAUCUCUCUGCUUCCUUCUUCUUCUUAACUCUUAUUCUAAAUUAUACCAUAUCAUUUUGGUAUCAGAGCAGAUUGGUCAAUGGACACUCGCGGUAAAUCUAAUGCCGAAUUCCGCAAUGAUGUCAACGAAGCCUUAGCUCGACAUGAAUCCAAUUUUGAUCAGAUCAAUGAUUCCUUGCAUAAGGUGUUAACUGAGUUACAAGCUUUGCGAGUCUCCCGACCUCAACCAACCAUCCAGCCUGAAAUCAACCCUUUUCACCUCGGAGAAACCUCACAUACCACAAACACUCACACACCCCACACACCAAAUGACCAACAUCACCACCUCAAACUUCACUUCCCACGAUUUAACGGAGAAGACCCCAGCGGUUGGAUUUACAAGGCAGAACAAUACUUUGAAUUUAAAAACAUUGCACCAGGCCUACAAGUUCAACUUGCCUCUUUCCAUCUUGAAGGUAUUGCCUUACAGUGGCAUCGGUGGUUAACAAAAUUUAAGGGACCAUUAUCUUGGCAAGAAUUCACAAAAGCCAUGCUUCAAAGGUUUGGCCUAACAGACUAUGAAGAUCCCUCUGAAGCUCUCACACGAUUAAAACAUACCUCAACUUUAGAGGCUUACCAGGAGGCUUUCGAAAAAUUAUCCCACUGUAUUGACGGAUUACCUGAAAAUUUUUUGGUGGGUUGUUUUAUUGCAGGUCUCAAAGAUGACAUUCGCUUGGAUGUCAAGAUCAAACAGCCGCGAACGUUAACUGAUGCUAUUGGUGUUGCUCGGCUGGUUGAGGAACGAAAUAACCUGCAAAAGAAAAUGAGCACUUCCUUUCGUCCAUCCGCAAUUACAGGAGCACAAAGAAUCAUACCACACCAUUCCAGUGGCGUAUUAGGCCCCCCGCCAACUUCCAAAGUAAACCACAAUGCCAGCAACUCAACAAUUCCAUUUCGACGCAUCACAAAUCAAGAGGCACGAGAACAACGGGCAAAUGCUCUUUGUUAUUAUUGUGACGAAAAAUUUGUUCCCGGUCACCGCUGCCAAAGGCCGCAAUUAUUCAUGAUAGAGGAUUCGAAUCAAAUAAACCUUGCUAAGGAACCUGCCGAACCCGAAUCUGAGGACCAUGAAGUCAUGCCUGAAGUUUCUGCCUACGCCAUUUCAGGAGCCAGUCAUCCGUAAACGUUCCGUGUGAUGGGUAAACUGAAGAACAAACCGGUAACGGUGCUCAUAGAUGGCGGCAGCACGCACAAUUUCAUUGAUCAAGCUGUAGUCACUAAAUAUGGGCUACCUGUUCUUCAGAAUAAAAGGUUCCAAGUGACGGUCGCCAACCAAGAACAAAUCGAAUGCAAAGGCUUGUGUCAAGCACUCACGAUCUCCAUUCAAGGUAAAUCAAUUACUGCUGAUUUUUUUGUGCUUCCUGUGGCAGCCUGUCACUUGAUUUUGGGCGUACAAUGGCUAGAGACUAUUGGACCAAUAGAGAUGGAUUACAAGCAGUUGACGAUGACCUAUAAAGUUGGAGAAGAGACCUACACAUUCCAAGGUCUUAAACACACCCCUUUAGCGGCAUUAUCUGAUAAAGAAUUCAACUCUAUUCAAGGUAGUGGAUUCCUAUUCCAAAUAUCUCUCUCUCCCAAUAAUUUCCAGCCGAAUCUUUACCCAGGUGACAUAAUUCAGAUCUUAACCAAAUUCUCUAAUGUUUUUACGCCACCUACUAGCCUACCACCAAAGAGACCACACGAUCACUAUAUCCCACUACAACCAAAUACACACCCUGUCAACGUAAGACCCUACCGUUACCCUUAUUACCAAAAAACACAAAUAGAGAAGAUGGUGAGAGAACUUUUGCAAUUUGGGUUGGUAAGACCGAGUAAAAGCCCAUUUUCAUCACCAGUCCUCUUAGUAAAAAAAGCAGAUGGUGAUUGGCGAUUCUGUGUGGAUUACCGUGCAUUGAACAGCAUCACGAUCAAAGAUAAAUACCCGAUUCCUGUAAUUGAUGAACUUCUGGAUGAGCUCCAUGGAGCUAAAUUCUUCUCCAAGUUAGAUUUAAGGGCUGGGUAUCACCAAAUCCGAGUACACGAUGCGGAUAUACCAAAAACAGCCUUUAGGACACACGAAGGGCACUGCGAAUUUCUCGUAAUGCCGUUUGGCUUGACCAACGCCCCAUCCACCUUCCAAUGCCUCAUGAAUGAUCUUUUCCGCCCUUAUCUAAGGAAUUUUAUCUUGGUCUUCUUUGAUGACAUCCUCGUGUACUCAAAGACAUGGAAUGAUCACCUUGCACAUCUCCGGAUUGUCCUCUCUAUUUUGCAAACUAACAAACUAUUUGUUAAGGAAACAAAAUGCAGGUUUGGUGUUUCUCAGGUGGAUUAUUUGGGUCACGUCAUUUCAGACCAAGGAGUAGCAGUAAGUCCCUCCAAAAUACAAGUUGUUCUUGAAUGGCCAACGCCAACCACUGUCAGAGAAGUACGGGGGUUCCUCGGUCUAGCAGGUUAUUACCGCAAAUUUAUCCUCCACUUCGGAUGUAUAGCAGCCCCUUUAUAUCAGUUGUUAUCAAAGGAAGGAUUCAAGUGGAACGAGGCAGCCGAGUUAGCUUACCAACUUAAAAGAAGCACUAACGUCUCCUCCAGUCCUAGGCCUUCCAGAUUUUUCUCAACAAUUCGUAAUCGAAUGUGAUGCUAGCGGGAUUGGAAUUGGACCAGUACUCACUCAGACUAACCAGCCAAUAGCAUACUACAGUGAAGCUUUGAAGGGGACGGCAUUAUUACUAUCUACCUAUGAGAAAGAAAUGCUGGCUGUUGUCAAAUCAAUUCAGAAAUGGCGCCUAUAUCUCCUCGGGAAACCAUUUACUGUCCGCACCGAUCAAAAAAGCCUCAAGUAUUUACUUGAGCAGCGAAUUACCACUCCUGCACAGGCUCGAUGGCUUCCGAAGAUCCUUGGUUAUGACUACAAAAUUGAGUAUAAACGCGGACCUGAAAAUCAAGCUGCUAACUCACUCUCUCGUGUUGUUGAAUUUCAGUUCAUGUCUAUUUCGGGACCACAUGCAGAUUGGUGGCAAAAAUUGCAAGAAGAGGUACAAUAGGACUAUUUUUAUAAGAAACUGAGUCAUUCUCAUUCAUCCCAACAGUUGACACAACGAGAUGGAGUAUGGUUUAAAAGGGGCAGAAUUUAUUUGAAUCCCACUUCUACUUUAAUUCCACAAGUCAUGGCUGAUUGUCACUCGUCUCCAGUUGGUGGGCAUUUUGGGUUCCAUAAGACACUAUCUCGAAUUAAACUCAGCUUCUGGCGGCCAAACUUGCGUAAAACCGUGAAGGAAUUUAUACAGCACUGUACCAUCUGCCAAAGGUACAAAUCUGAUUCUAUGCGUCCGGCCGGUUUGCUGCAACCACUACCCAUUCCUCUUCAGAUAUGGACUGAAGUAUCGAUGGAUUUUAUCGAGGGACUACCGUCGUCAAAUGGUUAUACUGUCAUCAUGGUAGUUGUUGAUCGCUUAUCCAAGUAUGCUCAUUUUGUGGCUCUCAAACAUCCAUACACGGCAGUCACGAUUGCUAAAGCGGUUGUAGCUAAUGUGGUUCGCCUCCAUGGCAUUCCAACAGCCAUUGUAAGUGAUCGAGAUAAAGUAUUUGUAAGUUCAUUUUGGCAAGCAUUAUUUCAAUUACAAGGAACUAAACUUAGAAUGAGUUCUAGUUACCAUCCUCAGACGGACGGCCAAACUGAGGUAGUGAACCGUACUUUAGAGCAAUACUUGCGAUGUUUUGCCGGAGAUCAGCCACGAAAAUGGGUUGAAUGGAUUCCAUGGGCUGAAUUCAGCUAUAAUACGUCCAUCCAUUCCGCCACCAAAAUGACCCCAUUUGAAGCUGUCUAUGGUAUUCCUCCACCUCACUUACUUACUUUUGUUCCUGGCACUUCCCGUGUUCAAGCAGUGGAUGAGUACCUUCGGGAUCGCGACACCAUUUUACGCGAGCUCCGCCACAACCUCUCUUUGGCAAGACAACGAAUGAAAAGCCAGGCAGAUUUAAAACGACAGGAGGUAUCCUUUGAGGUUGGUGACUAUGUGUAUCUCAAGCUCCAACCAUAUCGACAGACGUCGGUGGCCUUUCGUGCUUCUAUGAAGCUUGCUCCUCGAUUUUUUGGGCCAUAUCAGAUUAUUGGGAAGGUGGGGACAGUAGCAUAUCGGUUGGCUCUACCCCCAAGCUCAUAAAUUCAUAACGUGUUUCAUGUUAGCAUGCUUCGGAAGCAUUUGGGACCUAUUCACACCUCAGCUUCAAAUCAACUUCCUCCUGUCUCAGACGACUCUAUUAUUCUUCCUCAGCCUGAAGCAAUACUUGACCGCCGAGUCAUUCAAAAGGGCAAGUAUCGGCCAAAAUCUGAAAUUUUGGUUAAAUGGAGGGGAGCUCCCAACGAGGACGCAACCUGGGAGAAUGAGUGGCGCUUUACCAAGUCUUACCCAGAUUUUAUCCUUGCGGACAAGGAUCCUUUAAGGGGGGAGGAAUGAUACGUGUGCUUUGUAAGACUUGGUCAUCAGUUCUGUUAAUAAACUAGUGGAGCUAGUCUUUAGCAUUCUGUUUUGAGUUUUCUGUUAUAAUACCAGGUGAUCUGGUCUUGUUGUUUAGUUUCCAGCUGUAAGACUAUUAUAAGUAGUUAGUUCUGAGUUGAAUAAAGCGGAAUUACAGAAAUAUUUUCCCUCUCUUUUAUCUCUCUGCUUCCUUCUUCUUCUUAACUCUUAUUCUAAAUUAUACCAUAUCAAUGUAUAUAUAUAUAUAGGGGAUCCUGAGCUUUCCUAAAGUAUUAGAAAUCUAUUAAGGCAUGUAGUUUAAUCAUAUAAUGGUACUAUACCGUUAAAUCAUAUGACUUACUAAUUUUUUCUAACUUUAACAAAGUUUAGGAUCUUGGACUAGAUCAGUAUAUAUCCAGUAUCCUGAAUUAGAAAACACACACAUACAGAGACAUGUAUAUAUCCGUGGAAAGAGAAGGCUUUAUAAAUAAUAAUAAAAAUACCUAAUUAAGGAGACAUAAUGAAUCUUAACCCUACAGAGAAGGUUAAGUACAAGGCAGCGAAAAAUAAAUUCGAAAACAAAAGUCAUGCAUGUGAAGUGCAAGAAAGUAAAAAGCAAUGCAAACAUAUAUCUAGGGAACCGCCAUUAACAUCUAUGUUGUGAAGAAGAAAGAGAAAGAGAGGAAGACAAGUAAACGUGCUUCUUAUCUCCAAUAGCUUUCCACUUUAAUCAAUCACAAAUAUCUUUAAACUUUAAUCAUCCCUUUAACAAAUACUUUUCAAUUACCCAAAUAGAUUCGACUUUAUUUAAUCCAUCAAAAUGUUUUUCACCUUGUUUUCUUCUUUUUUUUUCCUUUUUCCUUUUCUGAAUUCGAUAAUUACUCUUGCACCCUCAAAAUACAAAGCACGGGUGGCGUGUUAUUUAAUCAAGACUGGCAUCUCUUCUCCUGUAUAAAAAUAUCGGCGAUAGAAAUGUUCAAAUUAGCGCAGCCAGACAGGAGCUAGCCAGUGAGUGAGUGAGCGAACUGAAAGUUUAGAACAGCCAGCUAGGAAUUAAAAGUUAAAAAUAAAUAAAAUAAAAUGGAUGAACGUUCUGCUGGGCAUCGCGUGGUUCUAAUUUCUAAGACUGUUUUCUUACUAAUUUUGUUUCUUCUUUGUCAACUUGGCUCCGAGGUCAAAUUUCAGAGUGCUGCUGAAAAUAAUACUAAAGUAGGUGAUCUACCUGGUCAUGAAGGCAAUAUAUGCUAAUAAUUCUUUAUAUCUCGAGUAAAUUUCAUAAUUUUAAAGGGUUUUUGGUUCUCUAGCAUGCGGUUUGCAUUAUUAUAUACAUAUAAGUACAUAGGAAUUAAUUAAUUCGUUGAAUCAGAUGUCUGAAUUUUUAAUGUACAUAUAUAGUCAUAUAUACGCAUGAUCAGUUUACAAUAUAUAUAUAUAUAUAAUUUCACAAAAAAAAGAAUCUCUUACUUGAGUAGACAUAAGUUAAAAGAUUAAAAAAAAACUAUUAUAGUGUAUUUUAUCUUAUAGGAUAUUGAAAAUAUGUGUAUUUUUGUCCUUUAACUUAUCUCUUAUAUUAUGAACUCCCUUAUUAUAAGAUCAAUAUAUAUAUAUCAUCACUAAUUAUCAGGUGCGCAUAAAUUCUCUGUAUUGAGAAUUGCUAAAAGUUAAAACAAACGAAAUUAUAAUUAGAUAGCAAAUUCGAUAAUGCAUGCAACUUUUAUAAAUUAAUUAAGAGUUGAACGAAUGUUUUUGUCCUGUAGCUAUAUAGCUAGCAUAGAUCCAUUUGCUCAUGAUCACUUUAACAACAUUUGUUGACGGAAAUAUUAUUGGCAGUGGACGGUUUCACCGACAUGAUGUCGAGUUUGCAGUGGAAGGCACGACCACCUAAAUUGAGUUCAUUUUGCCGUGAGAUGGUAAAGCUAUUACGGCUAAUUUCCAUUAUUAACGGCAUGUCCAGCAUGUAAGGUUAAUUUCCAUUAUUAACGGCAUGUUAAUCAUUUUGAAUACAGAAUCAUGGAGAGUGUAGCCUUAACUGGAAAAAUCCCAGAACAUGUGGCUGCUCUGACAUACCGGCAGACACUGUAUGUACAAUUAAAUAAUUACUUCAAUGAUCAAUCAUUUUGCAUAAGCUUUUAUAACUAAAUUUAAUAAAUUAAACAACUAAAAUACUUAUAUAUAUAUCAUCGUAAGCUUGGAUAUAAUUAUUUGAUAUAACUUAAAUAAAUAAAUAAAAUUACUCUUGCCUUAAUUAAUACAUGCAUACAUAUUUGAUAUGGUUUUAUAUAUAUACAUGUCAAAACUCAACAGUGAUCUAUCCGACAACACAAUUCAUGGUUCCAUUCCUUACCAGAUUGGGUAUUUAUUUCAGCUUAUCACUCUGUAAGUCCUCACUUGCCGCAAGUAAUUCAAUCAUAGCUCCCUUUUUCUUUUUCUUUUUCCUUUUCUUCUGAUACACUGGAUUUGUGUGAUGAGUAGAGAUUUAUCAAAAAAUCAAUUAACUGGGAGCAUACCAACAAGCUUGGGGAAUUUGAGGAACCUAGAAACACUGUAAGUCUUUUCAUUAGUUACUACGAUCAUUGAGUUAAAAUUAUUCCUUCAUAUUUUGUCUCUAAGUGAAGUGUCAGAUUGAGAUUCUCUCCUUGCCUAUCCUGAAUUUUUAAAGCUCUAUUGACGUGUCACUUAACCAGUUGGCCAAGCCCUAGGGGCCAACUGCCAAUAACAGGCGGCAUUGAAUUUGAAGAGGAUCCAAAUCGGUGAAGUGUCAUGAUGUCCCAAGGAAUUUUAGUCGACAUUUCAUAUUUUUUAAGAUUCAAAUUUUAGGAUGUUUUAUCAUUACUAUUUAAUUUUGUACAUUAUGCAUGCUUGUUCACACACACACACACACACACUCACACACAGAUAUAUGAAAUCUCAAUAGAUAGAAGAUUUUUGGUUCCCUUCAUUUUCUUACUAUGAAGUACCAUCAUACGUCUAUGAUUUCCUGCCGUAGCGAUCUGGGCCAGAACUUACUCACGGGGAAGAUACCACCAUCGUUGGGGCGCUUGUCGUCUCUUCAACUAUUGUAAGAAUCUUCACUUGCAAUGCAAUUUAUUUUUAUUUUUAGGCAAAAAAAAAAUUUUACUACUAAGGGCAAAAAAAAAAAAAAGAUGACACUUAAAUGAGGGUACGCAAUGAAUCUUAUCCUAAAAAAUUAAGAAAACAACACAUAUGACCAAUAUAAAAAAAGAAGAGCAACAUAAGCAAUAAUUACUAGGAAAUAAAAUGCAUGUAACAAUGCAAAUACAACCAUAAACUCCCUGAACCCAUAGCUUAGGAAGACCUUGAGCAUCUUUAAAAAAUGAAAGGCAAAAUAGCAACAGGACAAUCCGGCUACCAAUCUGACUCAGAUUCCACAACUCCCAUAUUAGCCAAUUUAUCUGAAAAUAUGAGUAAAUCGCACUUACAUGUGCUCCAUCAAAAUCCGACAGUUCUUCCAACGAAAAAUUCAGAAGUAAAACAUUGAAAUAUUCAAUUAAUUAAUUACUCCAAAAAUUGCAUUUGCAUUUAUCUCACUAUGUACUUCUGGGCUUUUUAGGUAUCUAUGAAGCAACCAGCUGUCGGGGGAAAUUCCUCGUGAACUGGGAGACCUCUCACAGCUCCGGUAUUUGUAUGAAAUCUCACUCUACUUUUAAAAUUAUAAAGCCAGCUGCUUAAAUCAAUACUUAGCUUAUUUCUUUGAAAAUACAAUACAAUUCUUAAUUUCAUAUAUAUUUUCUAAUAAAUAGAUAUCUGCCGGAGAAUGGACUCAGUGGUACACUCCCACCAGAACUCGGAAAAUUAAGCAAUCUUUAAGAACUGUAAGUGUGUGUGUAAGUAUUUAUUUAUAGAAUUUAUAAAAUGGUUAAUUAGGCUGUUGAUCUCGUCGUGUAUAUAUAUGGUUGUAGCUAAUUAUGUGCUACAUAUAUGUUUGUACUUAAAAAGUCAUUUAUACGUACAAACGCGCGCGCGCACACGCACAUAUUUGGCUGGUAUGCAAUUAUUAUAUGUCAAUCAUUCAUCUACAUACAUACCAAUACCACAUUAAAAUUUACAACAGGUGGUUGACAUCCAACAAUUUAAGGGGGGAUUUGCCAAAAGAUUAUGAGAAUCUAAAGAAUCUGACGAUUUUGUAGGUGUCCUGUUUGUUCAUUUUCUAAUUGUUAUUGUUUUUUCAUUUUUAAGGAUUGUAAUUAAUUUGGUCUAGAUUUUUCUCGCUUAUUGCUUGAAGUCUGCAAAUAUCAGUAGUGGAAAUUUUAUUUGUCAAUGCAGUGACAUAGCUGGGAAUAAUUUAUCUGGUCCGAUCCCCAGAUUCAUUGCAAAAUGGGUCAAUCUCUAUUCUCUGUAAGCCUAUUCAUUUUAUCCUUUUAUGUGUCAACUGAAAAAUGGGCACUCUCAGUGUAAACAAUCUGCUUUUGUUGGUGUUUAAUAAUUUGCUACAUAAAACUGUUAACCAAACUCUGAUAUAUACUCCGUUGGCACACCAUGCCACGUAAAGGUAGGAAUAUGGGCUGGGUAGAAAUGUAGGUUGUAUCAUAAUAGAUUUGAUUUAGAAUAGUCGCAGUAUACAUAUCGCAUCAUAUAAAAGUAAACCUAUUUGCAUGAUGCGAGAAAACAUACAAAAACAAUGAAUUCUCCCACACGCGCGAGCUUAUUAUUAAUAAUAUUACUUUUCUUUGCUUGAAUCUCACAGAAAUCUGAUGGGAAAUAACUUCGAAGGGGAGCUGCCGCCAGAAAUUUUUAAUAUGUCAAGCCUUCAAUUUUUGUAAGAACAAUUAAUAAUAAUCCAAACUCUGCUCUAUCUAUGUAUGUGUGUGUAUAUAUAAUUCUUCUCUAGUGUAGGCGUUCUCUUUUUUUUUAUGGAAACAUGAUUUUAAGUAGCACGAUUUAACAGAAUUAAUUUUUAAUAUUAUUAAACUGCACGGCUUAAAAGUGUUUCUGUAAUAAAAAAUAAAAAAAUGAGGGCGUCUGCACACACAAAGAGAGAAAAUUUUCGGACGGACACACACACAUAUAUAUAGAAAAUUUUCAAUGACAUUAUACUACAUGGUGUAACAUAUAAUAUUAACGUUCUCGUAUUUUAAUAAAGUACAAAAAAUCUCAUUAGAUAAUGACCUAUUAAUGUUUUUUUAGUGCGGGCAUCCUCAUUAAAUGAGGAGAGAGACACACACACGCCCACGAGAGUUAGCUUUCAAUGUGGAACUCUACAUACAAUAUUAAAAACUAUCUUUUUCAUGGUUUGCAAUGUUUUGUCAUAGACAUUGUAAAGUCCAUGACCCCCGGAUUGGAAAUUUUCUUUUUUAAUUUCGCAAUUAACUUAAUGUCUCUGACCUACAAACGAUGGGCUUUUCUUUCCCGAAGUCAGCUAAUUUGAGUAGUAUAUCAAGCCCGUAAGCGGUGUAUUCCAAUUCCAUGCACGUAUAAUUAUUUUAUGCGUUAAUUAUAUAUUUAUCUGUUUUUGUUAAUUAAUUAAUACCUGAUCUGCAUUUUAAAUUUAUUAAUUGUAUACUCUUCCUUAUAAUUAAUUAAUUAAAUCUUUUUUAGAAAUUAAAUUAAUCAUAAUAAUUCUGCAGGACAUUGAGAAAUUGUAGCAUUACUGGUUCAAUCCCACCAUAAAUUGCCAAUUGGAAUCAGUUAGGCUACCUGUAAGUUUAUUUUCGUUUAUUUUCUUAUUAGUUUAGUAAUAUGAGGCCAGAGGUCAUUUAAACUUGUAUCCGCAACAUCUAUUAACCUUGUCAGAAUCUCGUAAAGUAAAUUACUAAACUAGUGUAUAUAUUUGAUUUUUGCAUAUAUUACCUCAAUUUCUAAGAUAUAUUAAAAAAGGGUUAUUUUCAAGAAUACUUUUGGAAAUACACAUCUGUCUUGGAAAAUAGUCAUUUCUAAAAGAAAAUUAAUAAAAUAUUACUGAUUUUUUUUUUUUUUGCCAUCUAAUCUAAUAUUUCCUAAGCUUUAUAUAUAAAAUAAAUUGCAGUUAUAUUACUUUGCAGACAACAAAAAAGAUUGUCUUCAAUUGAUAUUGCUUUUUUUUUUCAAAUAUUGUCUAAAAUUUAUUCAAUCGCCGACCUUCACUAUGCUCAUGGGUUGGGGAGAGUUGUUAAUCCACUUGUGAUCGUUUCCUCUUGCUUAUCAAUCCCGGAAACAAGGACUUAUAUUUUUUAUUUUGGUUGAUCUUUCAUCAAAUAAUUUCCAUAUUUUUUUACUGAAUUUUUUGUUUUUUUUUUUUUAAGUUUUAUUUAUAAGUACUAUGAUUAUGCUUUCAAUUCUAGUCCAUUUCCAUGAUAUAAUUCUUCUUUACAGAAUUUAUUGUCGGUAUUUCUUCUUUGCUCAAGUUUAUACCAAAGUUUAAAGUUUCUGAUUAAAAAAACUAGAGAAAGAAGGAGCAGUUUGGUUAAAAAGCGGCACCGCUUUUUAGCGCCCGUUAAGAAAACAGUGUCUUGAUAUUUAAUGAGAAAAAUUUUAAAUAAAAUAAAUCCUAAUCCUUGCUGUAAAUGAUCAUUUUUUUUCUCUAAUGAUUGAUUAUUAUUAAUUUGCCUGUAGUGACCUGAGCUUCAACAACUUAACUGGUGGAAUUCCAAAUACUUUGAAGAAACUGUUUUUAUCUGAGCUGUAAGUGAUAACUUUAUUGAAUCCCAUUGAUUUUAUAUCUUUUCCUUUUGACUGACAGUAAUAGUGUAAUAAAAAAGAAUCCAAAUAAUUUGUUUUUUCUGUUACUAUUUUUACUUUCCAGGUAUCUUACAGGAAAUAUGCUCAAUGGAACAUUGCCAGACUGGAUUUACAACAAUGUUAAAAAAAAGGGGUAUGCUUUCUAACUAUACAUAAAUGUGAUAAAAUGUUUUCAAACUUGUUCUAGUGUAAACAUUAUUUCCUUUCCCCAUCAAAUUAAACACAUUUUAAAUCAAAGACGCGGGUUAGGCAAAUGAAAAUUUAUGUAAAAAAUUUCAAUUUAGAAUAGUGUAAUGUGCAAAUGUUUUUUUUUUUUUUGAAUGGAAAAUACCUUCAUUUCAACUUAAAGAAGAAAAUAAGUACAACAAGUAGGGAGGGUAUGAACCCAUCCAAACAAUAGUUUCGAGCAUCUCUAGAGCUAGCUUAGCUAAAGAGUGGGCUAUCGCAUUACAAGAUCUAUUAGCAUAUUGGACACAAACUGAGCUAAAGCUCUUCAACAUGUUCUGUACGUCUGAAAUGGUCCAAAAAAUCUCGGAUCUGCAGCCCCGAUUGUUGUUAACUAACUUAACAAUCUCUUGAGCAUCUGAUUCCACAAUCAAAGACUCUAUCAUAGCAUUCCUUGCAACCUGCAGCCCCCAUUCGACUGCUUCUGCUUCUGCUAAACACACAUCACCAUAGAACUUGGAAACUUUGACUGCAGCUGCAAUCACAUUCCCAUCUUCAUCACGAAUCACAGCCCCUAACCCUGCAAUUUGCUUCUUCGAAUUGGUGGCAGCAUCAACAUUAACCUUAUAGAAUCCUUUUUGGGGAGGAUUCCAGGCCUUUAGCAUCGGAGAACUUUGUUUGCCUAUAUGAGUAGCUGCUGGAAUCUGGGUUCUUCGGAAAGCUUCCAGCACAGCUUCAGCCUUAGAGACUGUCACUUGGGGGCUUUCUUUUACUCUUUUAAAAAUCCGUUUGUUGUACUUAUUCAACAAAAUCCGUUUGUUGUACUGUGCAAAUGUUUUGAAGCUUCUUAUUCAAAUGCUAGCUGCAUAUAUUUAGUUAAAGAUAUUAUCGUCCCAAGUCAUGAACAAACUCUAGCCUGCCAGCCUUUUGCAUGCAUCUAGUUAAAUAUAUGAAUGUCCAAAGUCAUGCACAAACUCUAGCCUGUCGUUGUGUUUAGGAAUUCCUAUGCCAUUUUGCAUGCAAAUACAAAUUAAUAAUUAAUGCCAACACUACUUGUCUGAAUUGUCAUCUUGCAUACAAUGAAUUCAUAUUUCCAGAACCAGAGACACACAAGUAAGAAAAUAGCGUUAAUUAAUUAAUUGGUUCCUUUCUUUAUUAAUUUGUUUCUUUGCAGUUGCAUGAUUGCUUAUCCACAUGCAUAAUUUUAUAUAUAUAAAUGAAUUUCAUAAUAAUUUUAAAUUUUUAUCUUGUAGGAAUCUUCCCAACAACAGUUCUCGGAUAAAUGUAACAUAUGCACUCCGAUUUUCUUAAUUAAGUGAGUGAUUUAAUUUUCCUCUUCGCUAUUAAUUUUUUUAUUUCGUCACGACAUUUUAUCGAGAAUAAUUGAGCUUGAUUAUACGCGCCGAUGGUCGGAUUUUAUUUUCGUAACGGGUCUGAAAUUCGCUUAAUUUGUAUUAAGCUUAAAAAAAAAAAAAAAAAAAAAGAGGGGCAGAAUUGUAUAAUUGGAAAGAGGGAAACGGGUUUUCCAUUUUAGAGAGAAAGAACCCGAGAAGAGAGAGAAAGAUAGAGAGAGAAGUCAGACCCGUUGACCCGAGAACCCGACCCAGUAACCCGCGGAUUGACCCGACGAUUUCUCCCAACUCCAGCCACUUUACCGGCCGUGCUUGGUACCGAUCUGAAGCUUGGAAGCAGACCAUCGUAUCCCUGCUGUUAUCGUCGCCGGAAACUGGCCAGAACGCCGGUGAUCGAGCUCGAAAAGUCGCGGCUUCGACCCGUUUUCGUUGCCGUUGAUCCCGCCGGAGUUGUGACGCGCCACCACUUGGAACUGGUUCCUCACAUCCCCAGCAACAUUUCCCGACCAGCCACGACCGCCGGGGACGCCCGGAACUCGCCGAAUGAUCUCCGAAAAUUUGCGGAACUUUGGAACUUCGAUCCGCCGCCGGUAGCGCGCGUGGCGACUCACUGCCACCACCGUUGGAUUCACUGAGGCCGGAACUAGCAGACCUAAGCUCCCCGUCAUCGUUGACUGAAGUCCGGUCACCGUUGACCGGCAGGGGCAAUUCGGUAAAUUCAUGAAACUUUGGGGUGAAUUUGUAAUUUUAUGUAAUCAGUGGACAUUUCGGUAAUUUUAUGCCCUGAGGGUAAUUUCGUAAUUUCGGACAAUGUGAUUAAUUUAUGUAAUCUGAAUUGAGGACAAUAUGGGUAUUAACGAAUAUGAGGAUAAUUUGGUAAAAUCAUGAAGUUUGAGGAUAAGUUGGUAAAAUAUUGAUGUUGGGGUAUUUUGGCAAUUUUGGCCUAUAGGGGCAUUUUGGUAAUUUUAUACAUGUGGGAAUAGUUUAUCGUUAAUAGAUAUUCGUUUCGAGAUUUAUUAUAUUAAAUUGGUUGUAUUUCAAAUUUACGGAGAAUGAUUAUGGUGUUUCCGUGAUUAGGAGGAUCCGCAUCCGCGAACGAGAAUCAACCCGCGGACGUUGUUGAUACUGAGUCUAGACAUCAUCAAUGUGAGUGGAAUAUACAAAACCUAUUUUCAUAGUAUAUGCUGAUUUUCUUAUAUAGUACAGUAUGUUUGAGAAAUAAAUGUUUAAUGCGUUGAUUUAAUGAUUUUCCAGCGAAUUGACUUUUAUUUAUGUGUUGAUAUUUAUUAUGAUUGAGAAUGAGUUCGAUUUAUGAUUUUAUUAGCGUUUUUGAGUAAAAGCAUGAUAUUAGAAUUGAGCAGACUUGAGAUAUGUUGAAUAGAAAGAAAAUGAGAUUUCAGAUGGGAUCAUAUGUUUACUAUCAGUUUUGAAAUCAUUAGACAGUACCCUUCCCUCCAGAUACAGAGAUACAGAUAAAAAGAGAUACAGAAAAGAGAUACAGAUAAGAUGAGAUAGAGGCCUUUGGGGCCCGUCGGGACACACAUAGAGGCUUUGGGCCGUGUGUUCGGGCGCUUUUGCCUUUUGGGGGCUUAUGCAUGCACAGUACAGAUAUAUGAGAUAAGAGAUAUGAGAUAUGAGAUGAGAUCGUCCCCAUCUAUCCGUUGUGGCUCCGGGGCAUGACGUUACCCAGAUAGUGCGUCAUUGCCUGGCCGUUGUAGCCCGGAUAUGAUCAGAUUAUCCCCUGGGUACUUGUUUGAUGACAGUUUUUAGUAUUCAGUAUUUAAUAUGAGUAUGGUGAUUCCAUCGAUUUUAUGCAGAUUUAUUAUUGCAGUUAUUCAAUUUGAAUUAAAUGAGUUUAUGAUAUUUUGAGAAAUUGAUUUGAUAAUUGAUUUACGAAAUUGAAACUGAUUUAAGAAAAGAUUUGAGAAAGAUUAAAUGAUUUUGAAUAAUUUAUUAAAGUAUCAGCACCUACUAUCCACUCACUGAGCUCACUGAGUUUUAUACUCACCCCUCUUUUAUUAUAUUUUUUCCCCCCAUAGGAGAUUUACAGGUACAUCAGUCAACCCAGUAGUGAACGUUAGUUUGAUAUUGUGGUCACGUGAUGGUGCUAGAAGUCGUGGAUUUUAUUAUUAUAUUCGAAAUUUGUGUUAUUAUUUUAUGUUAUUAAGGAUAAUCGUUGUAUUUUAAUAUUCGGAUGAUUUUGGUGAUAUUCGAGAAGUUGGUUAUGGAGGAUGUUUGGUUAUUAAAUUAUUUCGGGAGUGUUAUUUUGUCAUUUGCAGGGUUGGAUAUGUUUUAUUUAUAAGGGAGACUCUGCCGAAAUUUUUAUAGAUUUGUUAUUAAUUCGAUUUUACGAGUUUAGAUAGACUCGCCCUGGGGGAGGUUGCGGGGCGGGUCGUUUCAAUAAAUCUGUAAGAAAAUUAUACUACACCCUAUUAUAUAAUAUUCUCCUACGUUCUUACUCAUUUUCGUGCUGCAAAUUUCAAUUCCAACAGUUUCUGUCUAUCUCGUUUUCUGAUUUUGAUUUUGACUUUCAAUGAACAUGUGAUAUCUGCACGCACACUACUAACAAUAUUGCUGUGCUGUAACCAGUGAACCUAAGAAUCGGUAUGUUCAUAUUCAUUUAUCUAAUAAUUAUAUUAUAGGCGAUUUAUCGAUCGAUCAGCAAGCAAUUAAUUAUUACGUGAAUUAACGCCCUUACAAAAGUAAUUGAACUUAUUAUUGUAAUUAUUUAUAUAGGACAUUUCCGGAAGAGAUUGUGAGGAAGUAUUGCCCCGAUGGCCAGAAGAAAUCUCAGUGUAUGUAUAUAAGGAUUUAUUAAAUUCCUGAAAAACUGUAGUUUAAUAGUCUAAUGGUCGGAAAAACUAUUAAGUUUAUUUUAAUAAAGUGCAGGAGUUUAAAUUAUUUAUAUUUUUUAUUAUUAUUAACUCAUGCACAGAUUGAGACAUGAGCUCCAGGAAGGCUGUCCUUUGCCACCGGAGCUAGACCUUGGUUUCAUAUACAUGUUUAAAUUAAUCAAUGUGUACAUAUAUUGCAGACAAUGAUAAUUUGCAUAUAAAUGCUGGUGGCGAUAAACAUCACAGGGAAGGAUUUUGGUAUGAGGCAGAUAAAUCGACAUCAAAUUUUUAUGUUAACGAACCGGAAUACAACUGGGGAUAUAGCUGUAACGGACAUUUCUAUGCGGAUUCAAUGGCUGAUUCACGUGCAUUUAUACAGAAAGUAACGUGUGGAGCUGCAGUGAUUGAUGCAUCUUUAUAUGACGAAGCUCGCCUUUGCCCCAAUUCUCUCAAAUACUAUGGUUUUUGCCUGCGAAACGGCAAUUACACUGUCAGUCUUUUGUUCUCUGAGAUUGUUUUUGCAAAAAAUGAUGAUUACAGCAGUUCAGCAAAACGUGUAUUUGAUAUAUAUAUACAGGUAGGUACGCUAGCCACAAAUUUUUUUAAUAAUUUUAAUUAGCAAUUUAUCCCUCCCUAGCCUCCUUUAAUUAAUUUUAAUUUCCAUACAUGCAGAGCGAGCUAAUGCGAAAGGAUUUCAACAUAAAAGAAGUGGCCAGGCAUUCAAAUAAUGUAACGAUUCAAAAUUUCACGGCUUCUGUACACGACCAUCUACUGGAAAUCGAGUUAUUCUGGGCUGGCAAAGGAUCUUUAUUAAACCCACCUUAUUUUCAUGGACCUCUCAUAUCAGCUAUUUCUGUAACUCCAAGUACGGUGCAAAGUUGCUCUUUAAUUUUGUUAAUUAUCAUCUCCCAAUAUGCCUUUUGUUGCAUGCUAUCAAUCGCUGUUUAUUUUCAGAUUUCCAAGUCAACCGACCAGGAGGACUAUCUAAAAUAGGGAUAGUAGGAAUUGUACUUGGGGCUGUGCUAGCUUUGAUUCUUUUCUUGGCUCUCAUGUGGAGGUUAGGAUGGAUAGGAGACAGAGAAUUGCGUGGUACGUACGGGAGAUUAUUUAUAUAUAUUGGAAAAAUUUUCAAUUCAAAAUUAAAUCCCAGGAUGGAUUUAUGAUUUCGUAAAUCAAUUUUUACAAUGUUCUAAACUGAUUUACGAUAUAAUAAAUCUAUCUCGAACUUUAAUACUAGAUUUUAAGCUUUGGUAUCAUAAGCACUAUAUAUCUAUAUAUAUGUAUGUAUGUAUGUAUGUAUGUAUGUAUGUGCUAUAUAGAAAUUAUCAGGUGAGGGAUUUGGCACUAUAAUAAAUGCGAGAUGAAUUUUUACAAUAUUGUAAGUUUAGUAGAGUGCAGGACGGAUUUUAAAGUCUGUUUGCAACGUUUUGAAAGUUUGUCUCGUAUUUUAAUUGAGUGCAUAAUCCCACAUUAGAAGCCCACUUUAUGCUAUAUAUGCUAUAGUACUUUAUGCUAUAUUGCUAUAGUAUAAGGCUUAUAAAAGAUAUCAAGAAAAAAUAUAUGUAUAAUUGAUCUGUUUCCUUUCUCAUUUCUUCAUGAAAUACAUAGUGACAACGGUCAACCUACGAGGGAAGUCUUACACCCUUAAACAAGUGAAAGUCGCUACUCGAAAUUUCAGCCCCAGGAAUGUAAUUGGCACAGGGCGUUUUGGGACAGCAUACAAGGUUAAACAUUUAUUUUCCGUAUCUCUCUAUGUGCGUGUGUGUGUGUGUGAGCGUGCGCGUGCAUUCAUGUGUGUACGUGCGCGCGUGUGUGUGAAAGAUUUUCUAAUCUGGAAUUAAAAUUCAAGACGAGUUAACAAUGGUGUGAACAUAUUUUUACAAUGUUAUAAAAAUAUGUUCACAAUGUUGUCAAUUUGUUUUGGGCUUUAAGAAAGUCUGAGAUGCUAGACUAGAUCGCUAAUUAUAUAUAAUAAGGCACCCUUUACUUUUUAAAAUAAGGGAUCAUCUAAAAGAUAAAAAAUACAAAUACCAACCAAACGCGCUACAUUAGAGUGUGUGUUUUACUUGUCUUUUAAUUUAUCUAUUACUUUAACAAAGUAAUGGAUUCCUUAUUAGAAAAAUUUCUCUCUCUCUCUCUCUCUCUCUCUCUCUAUAUAUAUAUAUAUAUAUAGUCACCAGGAUCCUACUUUUACUAAAGUCCAGUAAAGCUAUUGAAAUAUAUGCUUAAAUAAUAUGAUGCCACUAUUAAAUCAUAUUGCUUAAUAGCUUUCCUAGACUUUAACAAAUGCAAGAUCCUUAAUUGGAACAUAAUACUAUGAAAUUGUAUGGCUUAAUGGCUUUCUCAGGCUUUAACAAAGUUUAAGAUCCUGAACUAGAUUAGUACUCUAUAUGUAUGUAUACAUUUAUGUAUAUAAAUUGAUUUUCCUUGUUAGAAAUAUGGUAUAUUAACCCGCUUGCUUGGUGCAAGCGUGCAUUACNNNNNNNNNNNNNNNNNNNNNNNNNNNNNNNNNNNNNNNNNNNNNNNNNNNNNNNNNNNNNNNNNNNNNNNNNNNNNNNNNNNNNNNNNNNNNNNNNNNNGCUUGAUGGGAAUCUGAACGCUAAGGUGUCUGACUUGGGAUUGGCAAAGCUUUAUGACCAAGAAAAUCCAUACAAGUUUAUCCAAGAAAAAGGGACAGUGUAAGUAGCAAAUUAAAUUGAGCAAGCACAAAAUGCAUGCCAUCUUGCACAAGCAAAUAUCAUUAAUUAAUUAAUUAUGGUCGCAUGCAGAGUAUACAUGGCACCAGAGUAUGCAAUGCGGAAAGCAAUAAUAGAAAAAGUUGAUGUUUUCAGUUUUGGAAUUGUUCUGCUUGAAAUAAUUAGCGGGCAGACAAAUGCCAAGUAUGAAGCAAACCAGGAGACUGAAUUUCUUUUGGAUACGGUAAGAAGACAACAACUAGAGUCAACUUUCAGUUCGGGAAUCUCAAAUUUUAUAAAGCUCUACACAAUACCAUUUUCAUGGUUUACAGAAUCCUUCACUUCAAAAAUUCCAGGAUUCCCAGAUUGAAAAUAUCUCCUUUAUAUGCAUAAAAUAAGGUCUUAAUUUAAUUUGCUAACGAUGUCGCAUGGCAUGGGAUAUAUGGAUUAUUUAAUAAAUAAAUAAUGUAUACUGUGCAGGCCAUUGUGUUGCAUUCAAAGGGAAGGCUUUCUGAAUUGGUCGACAAGCAAAUGCCAAAUGAGCAUGUAGUGAUGAAGCAAGCCAAAAUAAUCUUGGAGUUGGCAAUGAGAUGCGUGGAUCAGUCGCCUACUCUCAGGCCAACUAUGUCUGAAGUUUUGAGCGAGCUUGAGCGCAUCUCUAAUUAGAUCUGAACUGCUCAGGAUUCUAUGGUUCCACGUGGAUCCUUAUUGAACUCUGGACUGGAAUGUCUUGGUGAAGGUUAAGCCUAUAUACUACGAUUAUGCAUAUGUAUGUACACCGGGCAUUAUCUUAUGUUGACGGUGCACUGCUGCUUUCAAAUAUAUAUGGGUCGCUAUAAUGCUGUAAACUUUUAACAGCAUUAACAAUGUAAUAAAUGUAUACCAUUAGAUUUAAUUACUCUAAUGCAAUAUUUGUGUUAAAGUAAAAGAUAUCUUAAUUAAUAAUUAUUUUAAACGGUUAAGAAAGUGUGGUCAUUUUUGUAAAAUUAUUACAACCACCCUUAUAAUUUGAAACAAUUGUACUUGAAUAAUAUUUUUAUUUAAAUAUCACUUUUAAAACAUAUUUUUUAAAUAACUUGCAAUUAUAAGAUUUAUAUAUGGUCUAAUUCUAAUAAACAACACAACUAAAUAUGUACAUUUAAAUGAAUAUCAUAAUUUUUUGAAAAUAAUGUUUCAAAAUUUAUUACCAAUGAGCAUGUAAGAUAUGAUAUCUAAUAGAUUAUCUAACACAAAUUGUAUAAAUAACUUGCAAUUAUAAGAUUUAUAUAUGGUGUAACUCUAAUAAACAACACAACUAAAUAUGUACAUUUAAAUGAAUAUCAUAAAUUGCAUAAAUAAACUUUUAAGUGAGGUUGAUUGUAUUUUAUAUAUAUUAGGACCUUUGUAUAACUGAACUGAAACAUAUAUUACCUUUGAAACCCAUUUCUCAAAUAUGCCAAGCUCAACCCAGGACACGUAGGCUCGGCUUGGGUUGGGUUUUCCUACUAUCCCUAUUGCCAAGUGAUGUACUAUAUGGAAAAUCCCCACAUGAAAUGCUUUUUGAUGUACCGCCAGAACUAUCUUGCUUAAGAGUUUUUGCUUGCUUGUGUUUUGAUAAGAAUUUAUAGAUUAAAAAUAAAUUUGACCAACAUGUAAAAGGGAUAUCAUAUUACAACCCAUGUAUUAUAUGCAAAUUCUAUUCAGUUCUAAGUACGAAUUUGAUUAUUGUUUUUUACUUUAAUGAAUAUAAAUUAGGGUUGGGUUGUUUAAACCCACCAUAGUACAUUAUACACCCACUUUUCCAUAAAAAAAAUAAUUACGAAAUGUCCAUGAGUUAAAUUACUAUUAUAUCUUAAUGAAAUUAGCCUAUCCUCUCCGACAUCUAUAUAUGAAUCCAAUUAACUUAAAUUGAUUUUUCUACAAAAAGAGUAGCAGAGAGCAAUGUUUUAAUUUCGUUUCAUUUUCUUUUCACCUAUAUUCUUCCGAGUACACUUUUAUAGCUAUAUUUUCUUUUAAUGUGUGACAUUGUUGGUUAGCAAACUUCUACCUCUUGGAUUCAAUCCCCUUUCAACUCAAAUAUGUUUCUCAACUAGAGAUAUAUUUAUUUUUAGAAUCAAUUAAGGAGCAAAGAGAAAAUAAAAUCUGAAUUUUUUUUGGCUUUUCUUACAUUUAUGAUGCAAUCAUGCAAUUAGUUCCAUUAAACUAAUUAGAAAAUGUGUUCGAUUGAAUUCAUUACAUGUUAUGAAUCUUGACAAGGAUUAGACAAUAAAUUAAAAAUAAAAGUCAUAUAAUCAAUCAUAAAGAAAACAAAUCAUGCGAGAUGGCUAAGCCAUUGAUAUUUUAAUUUAUUGUUGGGUAUGAUUCAAAUAUACUUUCAUAGCCUUAACGUACUUUCCCAACAGGUGAUUUUGUAUUUCUAGGGAUAAAACAUUUGAAAGUAAUUUAGUAAAGGUAUAUUCGCAAUGAGGUGGGUUUAUAAAGUAAAAAUUUCAUAUGUAAGAGAGGUUUAUUGAGAGAAUGUGUUGAAAGAGUAUUUUAAUGGGUUCUAAUAGCCUUAUCCUAUAUAUUAAUAUCACUAAGGGAUUUUACCAAUGACCCAUCAAAGAUGUAUUAGUGGAAUUAAUUAGCAGGUGCUUCGUUUUAUAUUCAUAAGACCUGUGACUUGUGUAUUAUUACUACAUUGUAUGUUAGAAAAAUGAAGAGGACUAACUUGCUCAAUAUUACAAUUAUUUGGGCAAUAGAAGAAUUUGUUAAACUGAAGGACUUUAUUGAUAGUUUACAAGAAAAACGCUACAACACUCACGGGUCACUCGUCUUUCUCACUACUAAUUCUUCACUCUUUACUUGAUGCCUACAACAAAGAGCUUUAAGGAUAUUUGUAGUAACUUAAAACUAAUAUAAACCACACAAAUAUCAAAUUGCAAAAAUUUAAUAACCUCAUUUUACAAAUAUCACCAAAUAUUCAAGAACAUUCUAGAUUUAGAUAUUUUUACUUCUAUUUGAUAUUUUUUAAAUUAGAGUCAUCUCUCAUUUUCUACACAAUUCUUGAAACUUCCAUGGAUUAAACUUUGAAACUGGGAUUGGCUAAGUAUAAUUGGAUUAGAUCAUGACCCAACACCAACUUUCAUUCUUUGAUCCAUAUUUAGCUGUUGCUGGAACUCUUGAAACUUUUCGAUACUAAGACCUUUUGUAAACAAAUCCAAAACUUGGUCAUCCAUCUUGAUGUAUAACAUUUCAACUUCAUCUUACAAGACCUUUUCCCUGAUGAAGUGAUAGUGCACCUCCACAUGCUUAGUUCUCUGUUAAGCUGAUAGUCGAUUGGUUAUCACAAUACAAUGAUAUUGCGUAAUCUACUAGUUGGUGUAGCUCCUUCAUCAACUGCGUCAGCCAAGUGCUUUCUUGAGCUGUCAUCACUACUACUCUAUACUCCACUUAUGUGGUGACAAUGAUAUUGUUGGUUGUCCUUUACUACACUAAGAAACUGUUCCAGACCCAAUUCUAAAAAUAUAUUCAGUAGUUGAUAUUCUUGUAUCAAGAUCUCCAGCGUAGUCAGCAUCAUAAUAGCAAGUCAUCUUGUAACUUUCACUUUCUUUUACAAUAUACCAAAGUUGAUUGUAUUUUUCACAUAUUUUAGUAUUUGUUAAACCAUUUCCAAAUAAACCUUCUUUGGAUUUUGCAUGUAUAAGCUUAUUACACCUAUUGCAUAUGAAAUGUCUGAUUGAGUCAACGUUAAGUAGAUUAAACUUUUUACGAAUUGUCGAUACAUCGUUUCAUGUUGUAAAUCUUUGCCUUCAUGUGUGCAAAAUUUUGCAUUGACUUCCUUUAUAGUUGAGAUUGGCUUGCAUUCUAACAUUCCAAACUUUUUCAACAAGUUUUUGGCAUAUUUCUGUUGGCAAAAGAAUAUCCCCUCUUCUAUUUGAUCAACCUCCAUACUAGAAAAGUGCUUAAGCUAACCAAGUUUUUUCAUCUAGAAAUGAACUGAUUAGUUCUCCCUUUGCUCGCAGAAUCUCUUCUCCAUCGUCACCAGAAAUAAUCAAAUCAUCCUCGUACCCCAGUAUAGUUGUUAACUUUCCUUCAGUAGCUUUGACGAAUAAGCUUGAGUCUACAUGUGCUACUGCCACUCUAAGUUAGAAAUUCGACAAUCUUACCAUACUAUGCCCUUGGUACAACCGUAUAAUGCCUUUCUUAUCUUGCAUACAUACUUCGAAUGAGCUUGAUUCUCAAAACUUCUUAGUUAGUUCAUGUAGAUCUCUCGAUCCAAUUCUGUGUAGGAAGACAUUUUUUACAUCUAUCCAUCAUAAUUUCCUUUCUUUGCUAGCUGCGAGUACAUGUAGAACUCUUGAUGUUGUGAGCUUUACCAUCAGACUAAAUGUUUUAUCAUAGUCUAGCCCGUAUUGUUGUGAGAAUCCUCGAGCUACCAACCGAACUUUGUGUCUUUCAACUGAACCAUCUGGGCAAUUUUUAAUCUUGUACACUCAUUUGCAAGAUAUUUUAUAUCCUUUAGUUUCGGAACCAGAUCCCAAGUUUAGGUAAAUCAAAUUUUUAAAUGUAUGCUAAGUUAAAAGACUCAGAAAGUCACGUCAAUGGAUCCAAAUUUGAUUCAGAAGCUUGUUACUAACCUCAAAACUUAGAUGAUAGUGACCAGAUAUGUAAACAAAGAGGCAUCUCACAAAAGCCGAGAUGCACAACAAUUGAAAACAUAGCUUUCAUGAACAAACUUUUGGGGAUCUCAUGCGGCAGAGCAGGUGUGUUGGCCCACCAAUGAAACAGAUAACUGCUUGAGUAUAAAGACAUUUGAUUCUUAACUAAUUACGAGUAGCACCAAUAAAAGAGCAGCUAUGAAGUGGUUCGUAAUUUAACCAUUGGAACCGAGCAACAUAGUUAAAGAUUUUUCUUCGCACUACCAUGUGCAUGUUUCUCUAGUUUAAAAAUAAUACUGCAGAAAAGUAAAGUCUAAUAAUCACUAGAAGUAACUAGUCUAAUAUUUGUGAAAAGUACAACCCAUUUAGACACGCCAUACUAACCUGAGAGAAGAGUGUGGCAGCUUGGCAAGUGUCCACCAUUAUCAGCAACUCCUUGAAUCUAAUUUUGUGAUAAGACACACAAGCUCAUUAUUAAGCAGGAUCAUAAAUGUAUAAAUGUAAACGGCCACCAAAAUCUACCAUAAAUGAUUAGCAUUUCAUAUCGGCAUUUUACAUUGAGAAAUAAAUAUGUUUCAUCUAUGCACCAUCCAAAAUGGCAGAACUACAGGUCUAUAAACCCUUUUACUUUCAUUCUUAUGGUUGAAUGUUACUGUUAAAGGCAAUAGGCAUGAAAGCAGAAUACAAUCUCACCUGUGCUUUUCUUUCAUUUACUUCACUGCAUCUGCUAGAUCAUGACUUUGGAGCUCUUCUGAGUCCUGAAAUUUUAAAAAUUCAUCUCCCCCAUGACCCGUCAUGUAUAGAAGAAUAUGGCUUCCUUCAUCACUUAAAAGACGCUUUGAUCUAGGAACAGCAGCCUCGUGACGCCCGGUCAAAACUCUUAAAAAGUUUUCAACUGUCACUUCAUAACCACGAUAGUCUACCUGAGUGAUUGAAGUUUAGUAAAAUGACGAUCUGCUAAACUUUAAUUUCCCAGAAGCAAGGCAUGUUCAGUAAUUAUACACCCUUAAAUUUAAAUUCUUGAUUGACUGUCUCCAUAAGGUGUUCAUUGAAAGACUUAUAAGGAGACGGCACCCCCUUUCAAAACCUAAAGACCUAAGCAGAGUGUCUGGAGAACACAGUACAAACCUCGACAUUAUCUCCAUACAAAUUAAGUUUGUGGUUCUCGUUAUUGAAAACUUGUGCAGGAUACUUGUUUCUAGCAUUACAAGCCAUGUCAUCUGCCAGCAUAAGUAUUAUCCUCUCAUCGGGUAUUCCUAGCCGCUUAACUGUUCUGAAAAAUCAAGUUAAAGUGCACAGUCUACAAAUGAAAAGAGGAGGGAAGAGAAAAGCAAAUUACUUCACAAGACGAUGCGAAAACAACAAACUAAUCGCUUACCUAUACAAGGAUAAUGUAUUAGCCAUUUGUCGAUAAUUGAACCUGAACAAACCAAUUCAGUGAUUAAUUCCAUUGGCAAGGACAUGGAAUCGGUUUUUAGUCCAUCAAAACAAUGCCAUUUGACGUGGCAAUAGAAGUUUAUGAAUCCAAGCAAUAGAAGCUUGAAGAAUCAAGCUCAUCAACAAUAAUGCAGUAAUAUUAGCUGAAACUCAGAAAUUACAACACAAGAAAGAGAAAUUGGACCAUGGGUAUUGUUCAUCAUCAACAUUGUUAGAAAUGGGGUAUAAUUUAUAAUGAAACGGGAAAGCUUGAAUUCUUCCAAAAAUUAAAUCAAAAUCGGGAAAAAAUAUAAAAACUGAAAAUAAAAUAAAAUGAAAUAAAAUAAAAAUGAAGGUGAUUUAGUUACCAGAAGCGAGAAGUGCAAACCAAGACAGCCCAAUUGUUAGUGUGCAUAGUUGUCUCAGCUGAAGCUCUGUACGAAGUCGAACUGGAGAGAAUCAAAAGCAACAGCAUCGCCGCCAAACUUUUGAAACCAAAUGAAUUGUACAUCUUGUACCGGACCAUCAUUUUCUCGCGAAUUUUAAUUUUCUGGGUGGAAAACUUAAAACUGUGAUUUAAAUUUUAUUCGUUUUUGCUGAGGAUGAAAUCUAUUGUUGCAGUUUCAGUGACGCAAACAGUGCUCCAGCCGGAUCCACGUCCCGAAGUUGAAAAUAGGAUACAAAUUUAAAUUUAGCCCCGUUUGAUGUGGAAAUUGAAAUUGAAUAAAAUGUUUAUUUUAUAAUUUAUGAUAAAAUUUGUAUUUGGUAAAUUUUAUAAAAACUGCUAUUUUUUUUUUGUAGAGAAUUAUUUUUCAUAAACAUUUUAUUAAAUAAUCUAUUAUACAUUAAUUUUUAUUAUAAUCUUAAUAUUUUUAAAAAAUAAUUAUAUCUUAUUUUUUCAUACACCAUAAUAUUAAGCCGUUAGAUAUCAUAUUACUACCACAAUCAAAUUACAGCUACAACUAGUGUAUAUUCUUUCUAGUAUCAAAGUUUUAAUCUAGUAAGUUCAUAUUUUUUUAUAUUUUACUUGUAUUUCCUAUUAUAAAAUUAAAAAAAGUUUGCAUAUAAUUAUGUAAAUUUUUUUGAACUUUGAACAAUUUCACAUGAAUUAACCAUAACUUUUAAAAUUAAUUUCAUAAACUUGAUUUUUAAUAUUCAAUCUAUUUAUAUUUUUUCCGUGUUUAUUACAUCAUUUUUAAUAUUAAUGUAAUGUAUAUUACUUUUUUUUAUCUAGAUUACGUAUAUAAUAAAUUUUUUUUUUCAGUUUAUGUCAUUUUACGUUUUUUUUUUAAAGUUAUGUCUAAACAUCAUUAAAUAUAAUAAAAAAAUAAAAGAUAAUUUAAACUUACGUAUGUUUUGGUUAUUAUAUAAUAAAACAAUACAUUUAUAAUAAAAUUAAGCAAACACACGUACAUUACUUUUAAAAUUUACAGCAACUGAGACAACACAGCUUACUAAACAUCAAGCAGCUUUUUUAAUUAGCUGCUUAUUGCAUCCGUAUAGUAAAAGCAACUUAUUUAAUUAACAAUUGCAAUCCCAAAGUGGGUCUUUGUCCUCGUCCCAUCUCGUAACCCGAAAAAUAAAUUAUCUUUAAGCCACCAAAACUAUUUGAAAAUUUUGGGGCAAUGGAAAUGCUAUUUCAACAAAAUCAAAAGAAAUUAAUUUUCCUAUGUCGGAUGGACACGGAGUUGGUUCGGUUUAGAAUUAAUCCAUAAUUUGGUUCCCCCUUUUUUUGGUUUUUUAAAGUUCAUUCAUUUGUAUUUUGUGAUUUUUUUUAUAUUACGUUUACUAAUUCUUAAUUGGAAUGGAUGGAAUCAGAAUGUUAAUUAAUAAUAAGAAUAAUUUUUUUUACUUUACUUAUAGGAAUUGGAAUCAAAAUGAGUUGUAUUACUAUUAAUCUGUUUAUUUUGUCUUGGAAUCAAAAUAGAUUAUUACAAGUUACUAAAAUAACCUAAGUUGAUUAUUUUCAUUAUUUAUUAUAAUAAUUGUGAUUAUGAUUAUUGUCAUUCAAUAUAAUUAUUGUUAAUAAUAAUAAUAAUAAUAAUAAUGACGACAAUGAUAUAUUAUUAUUAUUACUACUACUAGUAGUACUAUUAUUAUUGUAUUACUAAUGAUAAAUAAUUUAGGACUUAUUUGCAAGUGGCAAAAAUUAAUUAGGGUAAUUUAAAAAUUAUAAAAAUUUAAUGGGGGUAAAAUAAAAACUUUAAGGAAAGGAAACUUGAUUCUCAACAUUCUUUAAUAGUUAAUUCAAAAAACAUAUGGGCCUCAUAUAUUUCAUUCUCAUUCCCACUUCUAUUUUAACAAAUAAACGCUAUCAAUCAUUCUCAUUUCAGAUUCUAAUUCAUCAAUCUUACAAAUAAACACACCUUUAAUAUGAACUGAUCAAUUUUUAUUGAUUUUUAUAACCAAACCACAUCAAAUUGAAUCGUUGGUGCCGUUUGGUCUUUUAGUGGGCAUAGAUUUUUUUUGUCCACCCUUGUCCAUGCCUAUAAAGAAGGGUUUUAUACUCCAUAUUUUUAUACUUGAAAAUGAAUAUAAUAAAAGUAAAAACAGCACGCUUGAAUGGGUUGAAUAUCUCUAUAUUUUGUGUUUUUAUUUCUAUUUAUGUGCACUUUGUUAUUUAGUGAAUCUCAAUUAGUAACAAAUUACCCACCAAGUAAUUUUUUUUUAUUACAUCCAUUUUCAUCUCUUUAUUAUACAUAUAUAUUCUUUAAGUAAUAUGAUGAUAAUCCGACUUCUUUCACACUAAUACGAACGAGAUUGGAACCUCAUACUUUAAUACAUGCUAUCAUAAAAAAUUUUACAAAUCGAACAACUAAGCACUCACAAGUUUUUGUUUCACUUACCUUGAAUAAUAUAUCAAGUAAAUGAAAUAUAUUUUUUAACAACCCUAAACUAUAUAUGUCGUCAUUUUCAUGAAAGAAUUGAUCAAAGCACAAUGAGGAUGCCAUUGGUGAUGCAAAAUUGCAAAUGAGAGGAGAGAUUCACACCAAAUGCCUCUAUUUUGAUGAUAAGUGUUAAAAAUGAGAAUUUUCCAUCUCUUGUGCAUCAAUCAUUAGCAUUCGUCAUCACUAGUCAUUCACGUUCGAAUUCUUUAGUGGCCUCAUUUAAUCUAAUAUACGAUAUGGAGACCAUAUAAAUUAAAUUAUUUAAUAUGAAAUUAAAGAAUGUAGGGUGUCUCCUCCCCUUGUUAUUUUUGGUUUACUAUGUAAUGAUGCUUAUGGGAUUGUACACUCUCGUUUAGUAUUGCAUUAACUCUUCGUGAGCCCUUCUUUAAUAAAUAAUAAAAAAAAACAUGUAGGGUGGGUGUAUAAUAAAGGAAGCGGGAGUUAUGUAAUAAAAAAAAAAUUACUUAUUUGUAGAAUUGACUUGAAGAUAAAGGGGCAUGUGAAUGAUGUCAGGGUUGAGCUUAAAAAAAGCCCAUAGGAAUGGUCUUCAUGGCUCAAAUACCUUACGUAGCCCACUUAUAAAAUUGGGCCUUCAAAAGAGUUUCAAGUCCACUGUUGAACUUGUUCAUCUUCAUCCUGCCUUGUGACAUGUUUUGGUUUUUUUUUUUGGGUUAAUCUCUCUGAUUCUUUUUAGUUUUUUUUUUUAAAUAGAAUUUUAUGCUAACUAGUAUUAUGAAUAUUCCUAUUCAAAUACGUACAUGGGUAAAGUGGAAUACCUAACACUCGGUAACAAUGAAAAUAGUAAUAUUAGUAAUCAUUUGACAAGUUUCAGUUUAUAAUCUAAUAUGUACCCUGGUGCUUAGGUUCAGAUAUUCAGAUGAAUUUAAAAUACAGAGUUAAAAGAUAAGAAAAAUACGAACUAGAAUGCACUAUUUUUGUAUUUAGUGUAUCGAAGUUUAUAUCUUCUUUUUCUUUUUUAAUCUUUCAACUCCAUCCUGAUAAUUUUAAAAUAUGAAUGUCAGCAAUUAAGCAUGACUCAUCAUAUGCUAUAUUAAUUUAAAUAUACAUUUUGCAUUAAAAACUAAACAAUACUAAAUUCUAGUUUGUAAUCAAUCCUUCUAAUAAAAAGACUUGUUUAAUAUAGUAGUAAGUAUCCCGCAACACCAUCAUUAUGAGUUUUAAUUUGACUUUUAAGAAGGGACAAAGAUCCUCUUUUAAUAUUUUUUCCCCUAAUCUUUUCAAGUGAAAUAAGUGGUUAAGAUUGAAUUUUAAAAUUUGAUAUUGACAAUCAAGCCAAUUUUUUUUUCACUUUAUUUAGAAAUAAAUUUAUAAAUAUUGAAGGACUAAGAGAAAUUAAAAGAGAUUGAAAAAAAAAAGGAGAGAAUCCUAAUCCUUGAAGAACAAACCCAAAUUCUCUAUCGUAUCAAAUGAAAAUUCAAAUGCAAAAUAAAGAAAAAUGAUAGGUAAAAAUCAGUGCUCUAAAAGUGAGCGGAGAAUUGAUUCUUCUUCCCUUACUUUAUAAAGAGAUGGUGCUAAUAAUAAUAUACUUAAACAAAGUUGUAGUAGGGAAUAAACACAGCAUGCUAAAGCCUAAUAAUAACUAAUAAUGGGAAGGGAUGCAGCCUGCCGUAGCAUGAAAUUGAAAUCAGCCUAAUCAGGCUAAUCAAUAUCUUGUGUGGCAGUCUUUAGCACCUUCAUGCCAUCUUUUAUCUGCUUACUUUUCCUAUGAAGAAAAAAGAGAGGAAAAAAAGGCAGAUUUUUAGCCACCAAUCAAAUUCAUCUUGACAAGGGGAAUUUUUCAGAUUGAAGCAACGACUAACCUCUGAAUCACGUAGUAUAGGCAUAUCCUUGAGCAAAACAUUCCAAUCAAGAAUUAAGUUUGGCAUAAACUUUAAACAUAGACCCUCAAGGACCCAUGUGGUGCCAUUGCUAUCCUGAUCAGAUUCAGAACUGAUUUCGAAGUUGCUGAUGUCUUCAUCCUCAAGACAGAGAUAUUGCAGGCUUGAGAGGUGCUUAAGAUUAAUCCAUUUUGGCAGAAUUUCGUGGCGGUAUCGCCUGAGGUAAAGCUCCUGAAGGCUCGCAGGAGGCAAAAGCCUAUCCAACAUCUGUGAUGCUUGUUUUUCUUUACAAUCCUCUGCAUCAAUAGCUAAAACUUUGAGUUUCUCGAGCUGUGAUAAGACAUUCCAUUCAUCUUCCGAGAUUUCACUCUCAUUAUUUACGGACAUUCGUAGAACUCUUAGCUGCUUCAGUCCCAGCAGGGCGUUAAGUCGACAGCCUUGUGUGUUAGACUGACUCUCCACCCGAAAUCCAGACAGCUCCUGGAGAUAAAUUAGCUUCUCGAGUCCGCGAGGUAGAUACUGGAGAGGACAAGAUCCGAGGUCCAAGAUGAUCAACUUCUUCAAACUAGUAAUUGAUGGAUGUAGUUUGGUGCACCUCCUCAGAACAAGUAUUAGGAGAUUACGAAGCUUUUGAAUUGAAGAUGGGGGCUCAAUAUUGCCUGCAACUCCGCUUAAGUUGAGACAUGCAAGGCGUUUAAGUGAAGAGAUCUUAUCCAAUAGAUCCUCAACAUUAAUUCGAUCAAGCUUACAGUAUGAGAAAUCCAGCACCCUCAGUGACAUGAGCGAUUUCACAUUCCAAAGGGAAACUGGAGUGCUUGAUUGCAGUAUCAAUGCCCUGACCCUUGAACUUUUUUUCAGGGAUUUUGGAUCCAUGUCACGGUUGAAACCGAACCAUCGCGAGUCUUGUGUCAAUUUCUGCCUGCCUUGUUCAUCAAAGCUGCAAAAAGCCUCAUCUUUUGCAAUCUGAAUGGUCAUAUCCCUGACCAGAUCGUGCAUCUUGCAACUAUAGACCCUGCCAUCAUAGCCUCUUCGAUGCACAACUUCAACCAAGCAUCUGCUUACUAGCUCUGAAAGGUAAUCAAAGCCUAAUUCCGUAGCAGUCCGAUUGUCCCUGCCCCGGAUGAGUCCUUCUCCCACCCACCAAUGUACCAUCUGUUCACCACUUAUCUCAAAGUCGUCGGGAUAAACAGAGAAACACAAGAGGCACUGCUUUAGAUGUGUGGGGAGUUCAUCAUAGCUCAGUCGUAGAGAAGCCACCACCGAAUUGUUCUCUCUUUCGGUUGUCAAAUAUACAUGAAAAUCAUCAUUGAUUUUAUUCCACUCACUAAGGGAAUGGACUUUUGGAGCAAGCAAGCCUCCUAUUGUCUUGAUUGCCAGCGGUAGUCCCCCGCAUUUCUUCAAGAUCUCUCUGCCUUUUUUUUCAAACUCCUUAUUGGGGCAUUUUCCCUUGCUCGUUAAAAAUGCAUGCUUGCAGAGUAAUGACCAACUCUCCUCUUCAUUUAAAAUUUUUGGGCGAUGAAUUCUUGACUCAUCAACUGCCAUACUGUUGACAACGGUUUCAUUUCUAGAUGUGAUGAUAGCGAAGCAUCUUUUUUCAGUCGGAUAUAAAUUCUUCCACCAAUCUAGAUUCAUUCUCCACACAUCAUCCAUUACAAUGAGACAGGUCUUGUCACUGAGCCUCUGUUGAAUUUUGUGCAGCAAAUAACUUUCCUCAAUUCCCGAUUCAUCCUCUCCCAGCUGUUGCAACAUGGCCCUCAUGACUCGUUCUUCGCAGAAAUUCUGAGAAACUGGCACCCAUAUCCUCUUCUCAAAGUAUGCAACCAUCUCUCCAUCAUUGAAUAUCUUUUGGGCAAUGGUGGUUUUGCUUAAACCACCCAUACCCACAAUACCGAUUUGCUGAAGCUUCUCAGUACUGCUAAGGAUCCACCCUUUAAUCUUUCCAAGUCCUUCGCCAAACCGAUUAUUUCAGAUGGUUCCCGGUCCUCUCGGGAAUAUUUAAAUAUUUGGUAUGAUGAAUUAUUAGGCCCCUGCUGGAUGAUUGGCUGUUCUGCUCUUCCAUACUCCCCCAAGCUAGACUCCAUUUUCUCAAUCCGUGAAUUGAUAUGCUUCAAAUCCUUACCUGUUUGGUAUAUGAAAAACAAGUCACGAAGUGAGAACCUGUGGCAAAACCCAUCUUUCCGAUAUUCAUCUCUAAUUUGGCAAUCCGUCAUUAUGUCAUCAGCUUCAUAAAUUAUUUUUCUCAGGCUAGGCAAGAUCUUCUGCAUGAACUCCCCCCGAGUUUUCUACUUAUCAGUGCAGGAGAUGAAGGCAGUCAUUAGCUCAAGCUUUGUCUUCAUUGCCUCAAGCUGAUCUUUAAAAUCAAGUGCGCACUGAGCUUGAGUCAGCAAAGCAGAAAACACUUUCUCUAUCAAUGUCCCAAUCAUCGCCUCUGUCGCUUUCGACGCCGCCAUAUCCUCGGGCAAAUGUUCCCUGUUAAUUUCAUGUUCAUUAUCAUCUCAGUAAAGUAUACAUCUAUGAGCUCGUAUGGGCUUCUGCUACAACCAUACAAUCAUGUCACACAUAAGGUACAGAUGGCAGAAAUGAGACUAGCACUUUCAGUACUAGGAGGGACAAGACAAAAUAUAUAAUGGAUUCAUCUCACUUCCACGGGACUUGACAGAACAUCUAUCAGAAUAGUGAAGUCACCCAACAACAUUGAUCAGAGUAAAAUUGUGUCAUAUGCGUGAAUCGACAGAAUGAUACUAGUCAGAACAUAAUGAUGUAUCGGACAAAAAACUGAGAAUUGAAGCUAAAGUCUAGCUCACUUUCUUAGGACUCAGGUUUUACGUUCGAGCUUCAAUAGAACAAGUUCCGAAUAAAUUCUCUUGGUAACCAAGGAUCAAAUACAAUAAUUAAUUGCUAAGGUCGCUCCAGUAGUAAAAGCGACUUUCCUAAGACUCAGGUCUUAGCUUCGAGCUUCAAUAGAACAAGUAACGAAUUGGUUCUCUGCGUAACCAAGGAUCCAAUACAAUAAUUUAUUGAAAAUAUAUUUAUCAUAACUUUAAAAUUAAGUGAUACGACGGCAAAUAUUAACUUGAUAAAAGAUCAUCAUCAACCAUCAAAUUCUAUAAACAAGUUUUAGAAAUUUUCAUGUUUAAAUUCACAUCAAUCAGAGAUUUAGCAAUGGCAUGGGUGAAUCAUAAAAGGGUUUUAAGCAGAAGCACUUACUGGAAUCCUGAAAGUGUGUGUAUCUAUAUAGAUUGGCUGGGCUGAACAGAGAGUAUGCUGGAACCUGAAACCCAAAAACAGAGUACCAUGUAAUCAAAUUAUUUUUAUUUCUACUUUUAAUUCCUUGCUGGCUGUUCAACGUUUUAGUUCGCUUAAUCACUCACUAGCUCCUAUCUGGCUCUGCUAAUUUGAUUUAUGUUGCCGAUAUUUAUUAUAUAGGAGAAGAGAUGCCAGAAUUGAUCAAAUAACAAGCCACCUGCACUUUGUAUUUUGAGGGUACAAGAAAAGAAGGUGAAAAAUAUUUUGAAUGAGUAAUUAAAGUGGAAAUGGUUAAAGUUGAAAGCUGUUGGAAUUUGGAGAUAAGAAGCAUUUUUAUCCUCUUCUCUUCACAACAAUCAAAUUUUUUUUAAUUAAAUAUCAUAACAAUUAUAUUUUUAAUUUUAACAAAUUAUAAAUUUAUGAUUUGAAUGAGACUACAUAGUUGCAUAAGAAUUUUAAGAAAAAAUAUUAUCUUAGUAGUUUAUGGAAAUCAUUAAUUUAGACCUUUAGCCCAAGUUGGGACUAUGUAAAAUUAUUAUAUAAUAGAGUUUAUUAACUUAUGUGAGUAUUAAAUUGUUGUGGAUUUACUAUAUUAACCUAAGUGGUGAUCUUAUUUGCAGUACUAGAGAUGUUUUGAUGGUAUAGUUAAUGGGAGAAAGAAGUAUUGCGGUAAAAAGAGUGCGUGAAAAAAUCAGCUGUAAUAUAGUAUACAAUUAUUUUGUCAAAAGUGAUUUUUAAGAAAAUUUAUCAAACAGUAAAGUUAACUUUUAAUUUUAAAAAUUAUUUUUGAGCCUUCUAACAGAAAUUUCAAACAAAUCCCAAAUAUUUUUAAAUAACCAAGUAUAACAUUACUUAUAAAUAAAUUGAAGUGGUAGGUUAUUCUGUCCCAACAGUCAUUUCAAGGCCAGUAUAUCACAUACAAGCAGAAGGUUCUGUAUCGAUUCCUCUCAGUUGUUUGAAUGCUCGAAUGUCUGAGGUCACAUACCAUCAAUAAAUAGUUUACUUAUCAAACAAAGAAGAACUUUUUCAAAAAGCAAAAGAAAAAAAAAAAGAAGACUGAUAAAAUCCUGAGAAUAUAUGCUUUUUCUUUGCAGGUGAAUUCGUAUUCAAAGGACCCGAUAAAGCCUGAAAAUAUUAAUUGAUACUAUUCUUGUUGAAUUUUUAAAAGGCAUGAAGAACAAUUAUAGGCUGACAUUAUUGAUGUAACCCAAAAUGAAGAGAAUCAAAAUAAAACAAGAAAAGGGAAACUGCUUUAUUCACAAUAGGAAAAUAAAAGUACAUAUAUUCGUCACAAAAGUCAAAAUCAAUAUUUGUUUUUUGAUAUUUCUGCCAAAAAGAAGAAUAAAUAAAGAGGUUUAAAAGUUUAAUGAUUAUUCUCGGUCGAAGCAAGGAGUGGUUAUGUUCGAAUUAAAAGUUUCAAUUAGAUUAAAUAUGAAAUUGAUUCUCAAAACAAAAUUUUAUACUGUUUUCAAGUUCUUCAAAUAUUUUUAUUUUACUGACCAUUUGAAUUCAAGAGACUAAAAAAAUUAAUUUUCGUUUUGUGCACCCCCUCUAUCUUUUACAGGUGGGGUAAAAUUUUGAACAAAGUCUAUAGAAUUUGUGGCUUUGUUACAAAUAUGGCCAGAUUUUGGUCCGAUUUUGCUUUUAAGCCUUUAAAUGAUCUUUAUUUAUUUAUUUAAGAAAUUUUAAGAAUGUUUUCAUUGAUUUUUUUUAUCUUCCGUCUAGUUUUUGGAAUUAAGGAUACUUUGUUUCAUUUAUUUAUUUUUAAUUUAUGGUAGGUUAGUAGUAAUCUGAUAUUAAAAAUUCGUGUUAUUGCAUUCUUCAAUGUUUCAUUGAUGGUUUAUCUAAAGGUAAUCCAGGUAGCUCAAUUUGUGGUGGUGUUUUUUGAGAUUACACGGGAUCUUUUUAGGUGCUUUUGGUCUUUCUGUAGGCAUUAACACUGCCUACUUUGCUGAAAUUAUGGCAGCUACUAUAGCUACUGAAUUUGCUCGUGACAAGGGUUGGUAUUGUCUUUGGCUAGAAAGCGACUCUGUUAGUCAUUCAUCUUUUUUCCAAUCCUUCGCUCCUCCUCCAUGGGGUAUUCAUAACAGAUGGUAGAAUUGUUGUAAUCUCAUCAACUCCAUGGCGUUUAGAUUCUCUCAUAUCUUCUGAGAAACUAACUAUGUGGCUGAUCAUUUAACUAACUUGGGUCUUAUUUGUGAUUCUCUCACUUGGUGGCAGACUCCGCCAUUAGAGAUUUUGGAGUUACUUUCUCAUGAUGCCAAUGAGUUUCUAAAAUAUCAUUUUAUAUAGUUACCUCUUUUGGUUUAACUUCAUACUUUUUUCUUUUUUCUACUUUAACUUCUUACAAAUUUUAAGGGAUAAAACUCAUUAUGUCCCCUGUGGACAGUUGUAAUUCCUUUCUUUUUAUUUUUUUGAUUAAUUAAUUCAGUUUAUUAAAAAAAAAAAGAAAAUUGACCAGUAUUAUUACUCUAUGUAUUAGCAUUAAAUCACACAUUAUUAAUGAAGUAAAAAUGAUAUGACAGAUCCAAUUUUAGUAGUUUACCAAGUUCAAUUAAAGGCGAAUUAAACGAAUUAAACAAAUUAAUGUGUAAAAAUAAAAUAAACAAGAGAAUUUUUACAUGGUUUUGGAUUCAAAUCCUUGCAUCCAUGGAGCCACAUUUAGAGAUCAAAUAAUUCACUAGGUUCAAGAGAUUACAAACUAUUGGAAUCUUACACAGUAUGAGACACCCUCUAGUGAUUGUGGCCACCUUGUCAUAACCUAUCCAAGUGAACACUUUGCGUGCACCACAUGUCUUUUGCUUGCUCUCCCGAGCAAGACUUCUUAGUCAAUGGUAUAUCACCUCUCUGUAAAAUCCCUCUACUGCGAACAUAUGACUCUUCUCGUGAAAAGACCAGAGACAAUCACUACUAGAAAAAUGAUCUUUAUUGAUAUUUGUCUUCUGACACUUUAUUUAAAAGUAUCAGUAUAUACAUAUAUUUGGAUUAGUUUCCGCGUUUAACAAAUAUGUAUCACUAAUUACUAAUACUGAAGUAUCAAUGGCUUUAGUAAUAGCAAUCAAUGACGCUUUGGUAUCAGCAAUUAAAAAUUAUCAUUUUAAUUUUGUUUUAGUCCGAAUUCGAACCCAAGACCUCUUAAACCUAAAGCUUCUACAUUGAAUCAAAAGACCACUAGGCUACGAAUUAUUUUUAAUUUUUUUAGAGUUGUGCUUUUUGAGUGGAUAAAAACAAAACAAAUGGACAAGUCUUAUCUUAUCCAAAAUAUAACUUUUCAACUCCCUCUACAAAGUAUUUGUUCCCUCCUAAGCUCCCCAGAUCUAAAAAAUCCCUAACAUCCAAAUUGUGAAAAAGUGCUCAGCCAUGAUCCUGUCAAACCGGUGGCAUAGGUUCACCAUUUGCCUUCAAAAUCCUAACUUCUUAUUUCUUUUCUUAUUUUAUGAUUUCGGGUCUCUCUUAUUGUCAUUAGAUCUUGAGUUUUUUUUUUUGUUUUAAUUGUUCUUUUAAGUUUAAAUAAGUGAUUUGGAGAAGAGCUUCUAUGUUUCUUUGGCUACUUGGAAGAAACUAGAAGGUAUUGUUUCUUUGGCUACUUAGAAGAAACAAGAAGGUAGAGAUUUAGCUUUUAUUGUGUUUUUUUCUCUGCUACUUUCUUUUCUUUUAUUGGCCCCAAAUAGCCUUCAUUAUAUCUACUUUGGAAAAUAUUGUGUUUAGGGUGAUCGUCACUAUAAGGUUAACUUUAUUUCACUGAUGAACGACAUUAAACAUUUUUUACACUAAAACCCUAAAAUUUUCUAAUUUGGGAAUUCUUAAGAGCAGCAUGAUUAUGCUAAAAUUGAUGGUUUAUAUUGGUUCAUAGUGGUUCUAUGUUGAUAUAACUUAUUGCUGAUAAACCAUUUGUUCAUGUGUUAUUAGUUUUUUUUUUUCAAAAGCAAUCUUUUCAUUUUUUUUCGGCUGUUAUUUUUUAGUUUUGUUCAUAUCGAAUAGAUUUCAAUUUUUAUUUGCUAUAAAUAGUCUCAUUGGAUGAUUACUUAGUACAAACUAUCAAAUAUAUGCUUUUACAAAGGAAAAGUUUGAAGUAUGUGGCUUAGGUUGAGAAAUGAGGUGUCUUUAUCAUUUCUUUAAUGGAUUUGUUUACAGGGCAAAACAAAAUUUUGUUUCUUCAGUUCAUUACUAAGGCAAUAUUAGAUUUGUCUUAUUUAUAUUUAUGUUCAUAAUAAGGCAAUAUCUCCUUCUUUUUUUUUUUUUUGAUGAGAAGGCAAUAUCUACUUCAGUUGUUUAAUUUUUCUUAUUUAUAUUUAUAUGAUUGAUGGCCAAAAUCAUAAGACUUAUUCAUAAGUAAUGAUUUUGGAAUGAACUCUCAAAUUAUCGAAAUAUUUUGUCCAAACUUUACCAUAUGUUUGAAAUAAUUAAAGUUAAAUGUGUAUGUUUCAGUUUUGGAAAUUUUGGAAUGAAUUGGGUCUAUAACUGAUUUUUAAUCGAUUUUUCAAAAUGGUUGGUUGCUGUCCAAUCUUUCAUAAAUUACUCAUGUAUCAUGUUUGGUGGUGCAAAAUGAUAGUCUAAACAUAUCUGAAUGAGCUGAAAUUCGGAGAAACUAAAGUUCUAUAUGCAUACUUCAAAUCUGAAAAAUUUUAUGUUGAUUGAACUUGCAGGUUAUUUUUAAUGAUUUUUUAAACUCUGCUGCUCUGCAGCAAGUUCUUUUGACAUAACUAUUUAUUAACUUUUGAUUUUACAAAACACCAGCAUAAUAAUAUCAGAAUAACCUCAAAUUUUAAUAUGUUGUUCAUUCAUAUGUGUUGUUAAAAUCUGGAAAAUAUCAUUCCAAUGUAUUAAGUAUCUUAAAUUUUAUAAGAUUCAUGGCCAAUAUCAUAAGACUUGUUUAUAAGUAAUGAUUUUGGAUUGAACUCUCAAAUUAUUGAAAUAUUUUGUCCAAACUUUACCAUAUGUUUGAAAUAAUUAAAGUUAAAUGUGUGUGUUUCAGUUCUGGAAAUUUUGGUAUGAAUUGGGUCUAUAACUGAUUUUUAAUCGAUUUUUCAAAAUGGUUGGUUGCUGUCCAAUCUUUCAUAAAUUACUCAUGUAUGUUUGGUGGUGCAAAACAAUAGUCUAAACAUGCUGAAUGAGCUGAAAUUCGGAGAAACUAAAUUUCUAUAUGCACACUUCAAAUAUGAAAAAUUUUAUGUUGAUUGAACUUGCAGGUUAUUUUUAGUGAUUUUUUAAACUCUGCUGCUCUGCAGCAAGUUCUUUUGACAUAACUAUUUAUUAACUUUUGAUCUUACAAAACACCAGCAUAAUAAUAUCAUAAUAACCUCAAAUUUUAAUAUGUUGUACAUUCAUAUGUGUUGUUAAAAACUAGAAAAUAUCAAUCCAAUGUAUUAAGUAUCUUAAAUUUUAUAAAUAUGUAUUUAAGUACCAAUUACUACUGUAGUUGGAGCCCAAAAAUGAACGGUUUUAGGACCAGCCAGGUGGUUCCAGAAAGCUAGGAGCUUGUUAGCUAUUCUUUUUAAUUGAACUAAUUUAACCUAAAUAUUAGCCGGAUUAUUUAAUUUCUAUGGUUUACGAUUGAUUUGAGUUUGACAUUCUUGUUUUGUGUUGGUUUGAGUUUGACAUCCUAGUUUAAGACUUUGAAGCCUUGUAAGAAAUGAUUUUGGAUGAUGAGCAUAUGAGUAAUAGUUUGAAAAUUAAUUUAUUGUAUCAAAUAUAUACUUAGUGUAGCAUAUUAAUUUUAAGAACUAUGGAUUAUUCCAUGAAUAUUCUAGUAAAUGGUUAUGUUAUAUAUGCAUGUCUUAAUAUAUAAUAAUUAUAUUUUGAAGUUUGUUUUUUUUCCCUUUCUAGGUUUAGGAAAAAUGUUUAAAGUGAUUUUGGGUUAUGAUGUCAAUCAAGUUAAAGCAACAUUACUUGUGAGUGGAAAUAUAUAAUGAUUAUAUUUUUAUUCUACUUUUUUUUUAUCUUCUUAAAGUUUUAUAAUUAGACAAAAUUAAUGAAUACUUAAUUACAAUUUAGGGUGAUAUUCUUUAAAUGGUUCACAUGAAUAGAUUUAAGUAGUAUAAUAAAUCUCAUACUCACUUUAUAAAGGCUUAACUAAGUUUGCAAAUAUUAUUUCUUUUAGUAGUAAUAAUUUUGGAUCGAACUCUCAAAUUAUUGAAAUAUUUUAUGUCCAAACUUUAUUAUGCCUAAUAUAAAUAUGGAGAUUCAUAGUUAUUUUAUGCCCAGUUUAAGGAAACUGCAAUUUGAGGACUUAUUUUUUGCCUUGUUAAAUAAGCUUUUAGAAUGAAUAAAUUGAGGAAAUGAGUGGUGAUUUAUUUAUAAUAGAGCAUUUGUGAUAGCUUUUAACUAUGCACAAAAAUCAUUUGGUAUAUGUAGAUAGAGUAACAUGCUUGUGCUGAAAGUAGAUAUUACAUUGAAAACUUCUUGUCUGCUAUAGUUUGCUAUAUAUAUAACCUUUGCCAAAAGAGAAUAAUUGAGUUUAUUUAUAAAUAGCUUAUGAGUAUUUUUUUCUUUCGAACAAAAUAAUUUUAUUUUUGUUAAUUGUUGUUUCUCUAAUGCCUGGAUAUUGGCAGCUAAUUUUUUUUUUUCUUUUCCAUGUAUUCAUAUGCAGAUUUGAUCAAUGUGUUUGAAGUGUUUAUUCCUCAACUUCACUUAUAUCCUAACCCAUACAGUCUAUUGAAUGGAGAAGCUGCUGGUGUGAUAACGCAAUUAUACUACUCAUAUUCAAAGAGUGAAAGGCAGUCAUCCUUCUCAAUUUAACUUCUAGAUUUAUUAAAUUUAGCCACAAGUAGUAGGCAUUUGAUUGGAUGGUAGAAAUUUUUAUGUAUUGAAUUUGGAUUAUUUAGUUAUGAGAGUAGGAUAUCUCAUAUUUUUGUUAUUGAAGUUUUGGAAUUUGUAAUAUGUACUAAUAAUAUUUAGAUGUGAAAUGAAAGAUUUUGUGAUAUAAAUCAAUUUCUUUUUGUUAUUUUGUGGUGCCUUUUAAUUUUACCAAUAAAUCAAUAGGCAAUGAUCCAAUUCAAUUUUUUAUUUUUUAAAAUAAAUUAACUAGUGAUACCAUGGUAACAGUAAUCAUAAACACUAAUAAAAUAUCAAUAACUACUAACACUAUGGUGUCAUAAUAUCAGUGAUACUGUAGUAAUAGUAAUCACUGACACCACUUACAAGUGUCACUAUUUUUCUGACUCCCAGAUUACUGACACAAUUAACAAGUGUCAGUAAAAGUAAUUUCUGACACUAUUCUAAAGUCAGUAAAGACCAUUUUUCUAGCUAGUAGUGAAUGUCUCCCAAAUCAAAGAAUGUUCACGAGGUUGUAGCCUCUGAAGUAGAAUCCUUUAGUAAAAUAUAUGAAUGACUCGCCUUUAUAUAGUGACUAGCGAAUCACGUGUAAUGAAGAGUCUAAAUUUUUUUCCUUUGAUAGCGCCCAAAGCCUUUAGAUGUAUAAGGAACUCUUCAUGAUACUAUAGCAAUAUUAUCUCUUCAAUAUCUGUUUAUCAUCUGCUUUAAAUCAAAACAAUUUAAUCUCAAUCUUCAAUGAUCACGCCAAUUGUAAUUUCCAUCCAAAGGAAUAUUGCUUGCUUGAUCUUGAUAGAUAACUUCUAUGUAAAGAUUGAUUUAUGUUCAAUUACUUUGACCUUGUUGUCCGCAUGUGAAGUAACACCCAUGUCUUGCAUCUUCUCUAUGAUUCACGCCAACUUCAUCAUAUAAGUUUGCCUUAUGCGUUUCCCUCAUGCUAAAAUAUCUCUGUAUAGACUUAUGUGGACCUGACAUACAUAUAAUAUGUAAAAUCCCAAUUUGCCUGUAUUUGCCGUCGUUCCAAGGCACUGUUGUAAUACUUGAGAUAAACUAAAUUACGUAGGUAUUAAAAUACUAAUGAAGACUCAAUGAUGUGUACAAUGAGGAUGGAAACGUACAAAUAUUAAAUUGAUGUUGUAUAGAAAUACCAACAUCCAUACAAUGAAAUUCCUUCUUUUUUUCCCCAAAAACUGAAUAUUGAAACUGAUUCAAUUUCAAUCACCCGCCCUAAAAGUUGCAUGACAGCUAGAACAGAUCCAAGAACACAAAAAGUCUGCGAAUUAAAGGACCAGAAAAUUGGAGAAUUACUUUAUCGUAGCAUCUUUCUUUUCCUUUAAUGGAGUGAAUAACGAAUCGUGUAAUCUGGGAAUUAUUUAAGAAUCUAAAUAGAAACAAUCUGUCACCACUGAUGCUUGCUGGAUUAUAUUAGUGCCAUUCCUGAAGUUUGAAGAGCUUUAGAGCCACGAAUCUAAUCUUCAUGAUUUUUUUUUUUUUUUUUUGGGGAUAAGCUGCAUGGAAAUUUCAAGAAAUCGCUGAGUGCGAAAAACAAGUGGAAAACAUUUAAGACCAAUGCGUGGUUAAAACUUAACACACCACCUGAGAUCCGUGUCUUCCUUCAGAAGGAUGCUUCCCGAAUCCCUUUAAAAUCGCUUUAGUUGAUUCGGUGCUUAAUGUUUUUUUGACUUGUAUUUUUUUAAUUGAGAGGCUUGGCUUUCUCUUAAAGACUCAACUCCUUGUUUUUAUUUUACUCUUUACUUAGUUUUAUUUUAAGUUUCUUCUCGACAUUGUCGAGGACCAUUUAAAGAAAAAAAAAAAAACUUAAGACUACAUGUAUGUCGGUUCAAUUAAUCAUGUAUGUGUAUAUCGUUUUAUAAAGAGAUUCCGCACUUGAACUAAAAUUUUAUAAAAUUGAAACUAUAGUUUUUAUUAAAAAAAUCUAAAAUUUUAUUAAUGACAUAAGAAAUUAGUUUUUUUAAACCUUAUUUAUCAUAAGACUCCAAUAAUAACUUGAACUUAAUAUCGGGUUACUAUUACAUGAGAAUCUACCAUGCAUAAAUUAAAGAUAAAAUAAAUGAAGCAAAGGACCCUUAAUCCAACAACCAGAACAUAUAAAUCAAUGAAAACAUUCUAAAAAUUCUGAAAUAAAGAAAUAAAGAUCAUUUGAAGGCUUAAACAGCAAAAUUCGACAAAAAUAAAUGAAAACAUUCUAAAAAUUCUGAAAUAAAGAAAUAAAGAUCAUUUGAAGGCUUAAACAGCAAAAUUCGACAAAAAUCAUGGCGGGUCUGGUUAACAUAUUAGCCGGCCACUAUCCUCGAUCAAAUGGAAAUAGAUGCCAACACAUCCACACUUUGCUUUGACCGACCUACAAUUAGUUAUUAUACUUUUAAACUCCUUUUCUAUUUUUAUUUUUGAAGGAUAUGUAUAUAUAUAUAUAUAUAUAUAUAUACAUAGGGGAUCCUGAGCUUUGAUAAAGUAUUAGAAAUCUAUUAAGGCACGUAGUUUAAUAAUAUAAUGGCACUAUACCGUUAAAUCACAUGACUUAGUAGUUUUUUUCUAACUUUAACAAAGUUUAGGAUCUUGGACCAGAUUAGUACAUAUCUUGCAUCCUGAAUUAGAAAACACACAUACAGAGACACGUAUAUAUCCGCGGAAAGAGAAGGCUUUAUAUAAAAAAAAAAAGACACCUAAUUAAGGAGCCGUAAUGAAUCUUAACCCUACAGAGAAGGUUAAGUACAAGGCAACGAAAAAUAAAUUCGAAAACAAAAGUCAUGCAUGUGAAGUGCAAGAAAGUAAAAAGCAAUGCAAACAUAUAUCUAGGGAACCGCCAUUAGCAUCUAUGUUGUGAAGAAGAAAGAGAAAGAGAGGAAGACAAGUAAACGUGCUUCUUAUCUCCAAUAGCUUUCGACUUUAAUCAAUCACAAAUAUCUUUAAACUUUAAUCAUCCCUCUAACAAAUACUUUUCAAUUACCCAAAUAGAUUCGACUUUAUUUAAUCCAUCACAAUGUUUUUCACCUUGUUUUCUUCUUUUUUUUUCCUUUUUCCUUUUCUGAAUUCGAUAAUUACUCUUGUACCCUCCAUAUACAAAGCACAGGUGGCGUGUUAUUUAAUCAAGACUGGCAUCUCUUCUCCUAUAUAAAAAUAUCGGCGAUAGAAAUUAUCAAAUUAGCGCAGCCAGACAGGAGCUGGCUAGUGAGUGAGUGAGCGAACUGAAAGUUUAGAACAGCCAGCUAGGAAUUAAAAGUUAAAAAUAAAUAAAAUAAAAUGGAUGAACGUUCUGCUGGGCAUCGCGUGGUUCUAAUUUCUAAGACUGUGUUCUUACUAAUUUUGUUUCUUCUUUGUCAACUUGGCUCCGAGUUCAAAUUUCAGAGUGCUGCUGAAAAUGAUACUAAAGUAGGUGAUCUACCUGGUCAUGAAGGUAAUAUAUGCUAAUAAUUCUUUAUAUCUCGAGUAAAUUUCAUAAUUUUAAAGGGUUUUUGGUUCUCUAGCAUGCGGUUUCCAUUAUUAUAUACAUAUAAGUACAUAAUAUAUAUAUAUAUAUUAAUUAAAAAUGUUCCAAUCUAGAAUCUUAGACUUUUUUAAAGUUUGUGAAAGCUAUUAAACUGUGAGGUUUAAUAGUGUAAUGUUUGUAAAAGUUUUGAAGCCGUGUGGUUUAAUAGUAUUAUUGCAUAAUGCUAUUAAAUUGCAUGGCAUAAUAGCUUUUCCAGACUUUAUCAUUUACCAGAUCAGGAUAUAUAUAUAUAUAUAUAUGCAAAUGUCUUCAAUUUUUUAAAUGCAGACUCGGGAUAACACCACAUAGUAUUAACGUGUUUUUAUCAUUUUUUACAAUUAACUAUAAUACCAUACGGUGUCAUAUCCGUGCUAAAUAAUGACUAUAUAUAUAUAUAUAUAUGAUCACUAAUUAUCAGGUGCGCAUAAAUUCUCUGUAUUGAGAAUUGCUAAAAGUUAAAACAAACGAAAUUAUAAUUGGAUAGCAAAUUCGAUAAUGCAUGCAACUUUUAUAAAUUAAUUAAGAGUUGAACGAAUGUUUUUGUCUUGUAACUAUAUAGCUGGCAUAGAUCCAUUUGCUCAUGAUCAGUUUAACAACAUUUCUUGUCGGAAAUAUUAUUGGCAGUGGCCGGUCUGACGGAAAUGAUGUCCAGUUUGCAGUGGAGGGCACAACUACCUAAAUUGAGUUCAUAUUGCCGUGAGACGCCAAAGCUUAGUUCCAAUAUUACCAUCACUUGCCUCGUCGAUAAAGGGACCCCGCACAUCUCCGGCAUGUAUAUGUUCCAACUCUAAUCUAAUUACUUGCCUUGACAGUCAUAACAAAAGCAAGGCUAAUUUCCAUUAUUAACUGCAUGUUAAUCUUUUUGUAUCCAGAAUCAUGGAGAGUGUAGGCUUAACUGGAAAAAUCCCAGAACGUGUGGCUGCUAUGACAUACCUGCAGAUACUGUAUGUACAAUUAAUUAAUUAAUUAAUUCAAUGAUCAAUCAUUUUGCAUAAGCUUUUAUAACUAAAUUUAAUAAAUUAAACAACUAUAUAUAUAUAUCGUCGUAAGCUUGGCUCUUGCCUUAAUUAAUACAUGCAUACAUAUUUGAUAUGGUUUUAUACAUGUCAAAACUCAACAGCGAUCUAUCCGACAACACAAUUCAUGGUUCCAUUCCUUACCAGAUUGGGUAUUUAUUUCAGCUUAUCACUCUGUAAGUCCUCACUUGCCGCAAGUAAUUCAAUUAUAGCUCCUUUUUUCUUUUUCUUUUUCCUUUUCUUCUGAUAUACUGGAUUUGUGUGAUGAGUAGAGAUUUAUCAAAAAAUCAAUUAACUGGGACCAUACCAACAAGCUUGGGGAAUUUGAGGAACCUAGAAAUGCUGUAAGUCUUUUAUUAGUUAAAAUUAUUCCGUCAUAUUUUGUCUCUAAGUGAAGUGUCAGAUUGAGAUUCUCUCCUUCACUAUCCUGAAUUUUUAAAGCUCUAUUGACAUGUGUCACUUAACCAGUUGGCCAGGCCCUUGGGGGCCAACUGCCAAUAACAGACGGCAUUGAAUUUGAAGAGGAUCCAAAUCGGUGAAGUGUCAUGCCAUCCCAAGGAAUUUUAGUCGACAUUUCAAAUUUUUAAGAUUCAAAUUUUAGGAUGUUUUGUCAUUGCUAUAUGAUUUUGUACAUUAUGCAUGCUUGUUCACACACACACACACACACACACAAAGAGAUAUGAAAUCUCAAUAGAUAGAAGAUUUUUGGUUCCCUUCAUUUUUCUUACUAUGAAGUACCAUCAUACGUCUAUGAUUUCCUGCCGUAGCGAUCUGGGCCAGAACUUACUCACGGGGAAGAUACCACCAUCGUUGGGGCGCUUGUCAUCUCUUCAAACAUUGUAAGAAUCUUCACAUGCAAUGCAAUUUUUUUUUUUUAGGCAAAUCUAAAGGGUACAAGAAAAAUUUUACUACUAAGGGAAAAAAAAUGACACUUAAAUGAGGAUACGCAAUGAAUCUUAUCCUUAAAAAAUUAAGAAAACAAAACAUAUGACCAAUAUGAAAAAAGAAGAGCAACAUAGAAAUAAUUACAUUUGCUCCGCAAAAUCCGACAGUUCUUCCAACGAAAAAUUCGGAAGUAAAAUAUUGAAAUAUUCAAUUAAUUAGUUACUCCAAAAAUUGCAUUUGCAUUUAUCUUACUAUGUACUUCUGGGCAUUUUAGGGAACUAUGGAGCAAUCAGCUAUCGGGGGAAAUUCCUCGUGAACUGGGAGAACUUUCUCAGCUCGGGGUUUUGUAUGAAAUCUCACUCUACUUUUAAAAUUAUAAAGCCAGCUACUUAAAUCAAUAAUUAGCUUAUUUCUUUGAAAAUACAAUACAAUUUUUAAUUUCAUAUAUAUUUUCUAAUAUCUAGAUCUGUGCCGGAGAAUGGACUCAGAGGUACACUCCCACCAGAACUUGGAAAAUUAAGCAAUCUUGAAGAAUUGUAAGUGCUUGUGGAAGUAUUUAUUUAUGGAAUUUAUAAAAUGGUUAAUUAGGAUGUUGAUCUCGUCGUGUAUAUAUACGCUUGUAACUAAUUAUGUACUACAUAUAUGCUUGUACUUGAAAAUUCAUUUAUACGUGCACACUUGCGCGCGCGCACACACGCAUAUUUGGCUGGUAUGCAAUUAUUAUAUGUCAAUCAUUCAUCUACGUACAUACCAAUACCACAUUAAAAUUUACAACACCUCAAUCUUAAACAUAACCUAAAAAUAAUUUUCAUGUGGUUGCAGGUGGUUGACAUCCAACAAUUUAAGGGGGGAUUUGCCAAAAGAUUAUGAGAAUCUAAAGAAUCUGACGAUUUUGUAAGUGUCAUGUUUGUUCAUUUUCUAAUUGUUAUUGUUGUUGUUAUUUUUAAGGAUUGUAAUUAAUUUGGUCUAGAUUUUUCUUGCUUAUUGUUUGAAGUCUGCAAAUAUCAGUAGUGGAAAUUUUAUUUGUCAAUGCAGGGAAAUAGCUGGGAAUUAUUUGUCUGGUCCGAUCCCCAGAUUCAUUGCAAAAUGGGACAACCUCUAUUUUCUGUAAGCCUAUUCAUUUUAUCAUUUUAUGUGUAAACGGAAACUUGGGUACUCUCUGUGUAAACAAUCUGCUUUUGUUGGAGUUUAAUAAUUUGCUACAUAAAACUGUUAACCAAACUCUGACAUAUACUCCUUUGGCAAACCAUGCUAAGUAAAGGUAGGAAUAUGGGCUGGGUAGAAUGGGAAAAAUUCAAGAAUACAUCUGUUGUAUUACAACCAAUUGAUGCAUGCAUGACAUGUGUAAUUGAGUUUAAUACAACCACCACUUACAAAAUAAAUGCACACAUGUCAUGACAUUAUUUACUUCUUGUAUGGCUGACAUGAUACAACAGAUGUAUUUUAAAAUUUCUCGUAGAAUGGAUAUUCCUCUGUAAUUAAAGGUAGAAAUGUAGGUUGUAUCAAAAUAAAUUUGACCCAGAAUAGUCGCAGUAUAUAAAUUUCUUAUUGCAAUAUAUAUAUUGCAUCAUAUAAAAGUAAACCAAUUUGCAUGAUGCUCGAAAACAUACAAAAACAAUGAAUUCUCCCACACGCGCGAGCUAAUUAUCAAUAAUAUUACUUUUGUUUCCUUUAAUCUCACAGAAAUUUGAUGGGAAAUAACUUCGAAGGGGAGCUGCCACCAGAAAUUUUUAAUAUGUCAAGCCUUCGAAUUUUGUAAGAACAAUUAAUAAUAAUCCAAACUCUGCUCUAUAUAUGUAUUUAUGUGUGUAUGUGUAUAUAAUUCUUCUCUACUGCGGGCGCCCUCAUUUGUUUUUUUACUGCAAACAUGAUUUUAAGCAGUGCGAUUUAAUAGAAUUAGUUUUUAGUGUUAUUAAACCGCACGGCUUAAAAGUGUGUCCGUAAUAAAAAAAUAAAAAAUGAGAGCGCCCGCACACACUCACACACACAGAAAAUUUUCAGACACACACACAUAUAUAGAAAAUUUUCAGUGACAUCAUACUAUAUGGUGUAAUAAAGACUAUUAACAUUCUUGUACUUUAAUAAAGUACAAAAAACUCAUUAGAUAAUAACUAUAUAUGUAUAGCUUUCAAUGUGGAACUUUGCUUACAAUAUUAAAAUCUAUCUUUUUCAUGGUUUACAAUGUUUUGUCAUAGACAUUGUAAAGUCCAUGACUCCCGGAUGGGAAAUUUUCUUUUUUAAUUGCGCAAUUAACUUAAUUUCUAACUUGGCUUCGUUGUUUAUUCCAGGUAUGUCUCUGACCUACAAACGAUGGGCUUUUCUUUCCCGAAGUCAGCUAAUUUGAGUAGUAUAUCAAGCCUGUAAGCGGUGUAUUCCAAUUCCAUGCACGUAUAAUUAUUUUAUGCGUUAAUUAUAUAUUUAUCUGUUUUUGUUAAUUAAUUAAUACCUGAUCUGCAUUUUAAAUUUAUUAAUUGUAUACUAUUCCUUAUAAUUAAUUAAUUAAAUCUUUUUUAGAAAUUAAAUUAAUCAUAAUAAUUCUACAGGACAUUGAGAAAUUGUAGCAUUACUGGUUCAAUCCCACCAUACAUUGCCAAUUGGAAUCAGUUAGGCUACCUGUAAGUUUAUUUUCGUUUAUUUUCUUAUUAGUUUAGUAAUAUGAGGCCAGAGGUCAUUUAAACUUGUCUCCGCAACAUCUAUUAACCUUGUCAGAAUCUCGUAAAGUAAAUUACUAAACUAGUGUAUAUAUUUGAUUUUUGCAUAUAUUACCUCAAUUUCUAAGAUAUAUUAAAAAAGGGUUAUUUUCAAGAAUACUUUUGGAAAUACACAUCUGUCUUGGAAAAUAGUCAUUUCUAAAAGAAAAUUAAUAAAAUAUUACUGAUUUUUUUUUUUUGGCCAUCUAAUCUAAUAUUUCCUAAGCUUUAUAUAUAAAAUAAAUUGCAGUUAUAUUACUUUGCAGACAACAAAAAAGAUUGUCUUCAAUUGAUAUUGCUUUUUUUUUUUCAAAUAUUGUCUAAAAUUUAUUCAAUCGCCGACCUUCACUAUGCUCAUGGGUUGGGGAGAGUUGUUAAUCCACUUGUGAUCGUUUCCUCUUGCUUAUCAAUCCCGGAAACAAGGACUUAUAUUUUUUAUUUUGGUUGAUCUUUCAUCAAAUAAUUUCCAUAUUUUUUUACUGAAUUUUUUGUUUUUUUUUUAAGUUUUAUUUAUAAGUACUAUGAUUAUGCUUUCAAUUCUAGUCCAUUUCCGUGAUAUAAUUCUUCUUUACAGAAUUUAUUGUCGGUAUUUCUUCUUUGCUCAAGUUUAUACCAAAGUUUAAAGUUUCUGAUAAAAAAAACUAGAGAAAGAAGGAGCAGUUUGGUUAAAAAGCGGCACCGCUUUUUAGCGCCCGUUAAGAAAACAGUGUCUUGAUAUUUAAUGAGAAAAUUUUUAAAUAAAAUAAAUCCUAAUCCUUGCUGUAAAUGAUCAUUUUUUUUUCUCUAAUGAUUGAUUAUUAUUAAUUUGCACUGUAGUGACCUGAGCUUCAACAACUUAACUGGUGGAAUUCCAAAUACUUUGAAGAAACUGUUUUUAUCUGAGCUGUAAGUGAUAACCUUAUUGAAUCCCAUUGAUUUUAUAUCUUUUCCUUUUGACUGACAGUAAUAGUGUAAUAAAAAAGAAUCCAAAUAAUUUGUUUUUUCUGUUACUAUUUUUACUUUCCAGGUAUCUUACAGGAAAUAUGCUCAAUGGAACAUUGCCAGACUGGAUUUACAGCAAUGUUAAAAAAAAGGGGUAUGCUUUCUAACUAUACAUAAAUGUGAUAAAAUGUUUUCAAACUUGUUCUAGUGUAAACAUUAUUUCCUUUCCCCAUCAAAUUAAACACAUUUUAAAUCAAAGACGCGGGUUAGGCAAAUGAAAAUUUAUGUAAAAAAUUUCAAUUUAGAAUAGUGUAAUGUGCAAAUGUUUUGAAGCUUCUUAUUCAAAUGCUAGCUGCAUAUAUUUAGUUAAAGAUAUUAUCGUCCCAAGUCAUGAACAAACUCUAGCCUGCCAGCCUUUUGCAUGCAUCUAGUUAAAUAUAUGAAUGUCCAAAGUCAUGCACAAACUCUAGCCUGUCGUUGUGUUUAGGAAUUCCUAUGCCAUUUUGCAUGCAAAUACAAAUUAAUAAUUAAUGCCAACACUACUUGUCUGAAUUGUCAUCUUGCAGGGAUCUUGCAUACAAUGAAUUCAUAUUUCCAGAACCAGAGACACACAAGUAAGAAAAUAGCUUUAAUUAAUUAAUUGGUUCCUUUCUUUAUUAAUUUGUUUCUUUGCAGUUGCAUGAUUGCUUAUCCACAUGCAUAAUUUUAUAUAUAUAAAUGAAUUUCAUAAUAAUUUUAAAUUUUUAUCUUGUAGGAAUCUUCCCAACAACAGUUCUCGGAUAAAUCUGUAAGAAAAUUAUACUACACCCUAUUAUAUAAUAUUCUCCUACGUUCUUACUCAUUUUCGUGCUGCAAAUUUCAAUUCCAACAGUUUCUGUCUAUCUCGUUUUCUGAUUUUGAUUUUGACUUUCAAUGAACAUGUGAUAUCUGCACGCACACUACUAACAAUAUUGCUGUGCUGUAACCAGUGAACCUAAGAAUCGGUAUGUUCAUAUUCAUUUAUCUAAUAAUUAUAUUAUAGGCGAUUUAUCUAUCGAUCAGCAAGCAAUUAAUUAUUACGUGAAUUAACGCCCUUACAAAAGUAAUUGAACUUAUUAUUGUAAUUAUUUAUAUAGGACAUUUCCGGAAGAGAUUGUGAGGAAGUAUUGCCCCGAUGGCCAGAAGAAAUCUCAGUGUAUGUAUAUAAGGAUUUAUUAAAUUCCUGAAAAACUGUAGUUUAAUAGUCUAAUGGUCGGAAAAACUAUUAAGUUUAUUUUAAUAAAGUGCAGGAGUUUAAAUUAUUUAUAUUUUUUAUUAUUAUUAACUCAUGCACAGAUUGAGACAUGAGCUCCAGGAAGGCUGUCCUUUGCCACCGGAGCUAGACCUUGGUUUCAUAUACAUGUUUAAAUUAAUCAAUGUGUACAUAUAUUGCAGACAAUGAUAAUUUGCAUAUAAAUGCUGGUGGCGAUAAACAUCACAGGGAAGGAUUUUGGUAUGAGGCAGAUAAAUCGACAUCAAAUUUUUAUGUUAACGAACCGGAAUACAACUGGGGAUAUAGCUGUAACGGACAUUUCUAUGCGGAUUCAAUGGUUGAUUCACGUGCAUUUAUACAGAAAGUAACGUGUGGAGCUGCAGUGAUUGAUGCAUCUUUAUAUGACGAAGCUCGCCUUUGCCCCAAUUCUCUCAAAUACUAUGGUUUUUGCUUGCGAAACGGCAAUUACACUGUCAGUCUUUUGUUCUCUGAGAUUGUUUUUGCAAAAAAUGAUGAUUACAGCAGUUCAGCAAAACGUGUAUUUGAUAUAUAUAUACAGGUAGGUACGCUAGCCACAAAUUUUUUUAAUAAAUUUAAUUAGCAAUUUAUCCCUCCCUAGCCUCCUUUAAUUAAUUUUAAUUUCCAUACAUGCAGAGCGAGCUAAUGCGAAAGGAUUUCAACAUAAAAGAAGUGGCCAGGCAUUCAAAUAAUGUAACGAUUCAAAAUUUCACGGCUUCUGUACACGACCAUCUACUGGAAAUCGAGUUAUUCUGGGCUGGCAAAGGAUCUUUAUUAAACCCACCUUAUUUUCAUGGACCUCUCAUAUCAGCUAUUUCUGUAACUCCAAGUACGGUGCAAAGUUGCAAUCAUUGCAUAAGUGAUAGCUCUUCAAUUUUGUUAAUUAUCAUCUCCCAAUAUGCCUUUUGUUGCAUGCUAUCAAUCACUGUUUAAUUUUCAGAUUUCGGAGUCAGCCGAUCACGACUAUCUAAAAUAGGGAUAGUAGCAAUUGUACUUGGGGCUGUGCUGGCGUUGAUUCUUUUCUUGGCUCUCAUGUGGAGAUUAGGAUGGAUAGGAGACAGAGAAUUGCGUGGUACGUACGGGAGAUUAUUUAUAUAUAUUGGAAAAAAUUUCAAUUCGAAGUUAAAUCCCAGGAUGGAUUUCUGAUUUCGUAAAUCGAUUUUUACGAUGUUCUAAACUGAUUUACGAUAUCAUAAAUCUAUCUCCAACGUUAAUACCAUAUUUUAAGCUUAGUUGUAUAUAUAUAAUAUGCUAUGUAAGAAAUUAUCAGGUGAGGGAUUUGGCACUAUAAUAAAUGCGAGAUGAAUUUUUACAAUAUUGUAAGUUUAGUAGAGUGCAGGACGGAUUUUUAAAGUCUGUUUGCAACAUUUUGAAAAUUUGUCUCAUAUUUUAAUUGAGUACAUAAUCCCACAUUAGAAGCCCACUUUAUGCUAUAUAUGCUAUAGUAUAAGGCUUAUAAAAGAUAUCAAGAAAAAGUAUACGUAUAAUUGAUCUGUUUCCUUUCUCAUUUCUUCAUGAAAUACACAGUGACAACGGUCAACCUACGAGGGAAGUCUUACACCCUCAAACAAGUGAAAGUCGCUACUCGAAAUUUCAGCCCCAGGAAUGUAAUUGGCUCGGGGCGUUUUGGGACAGUAUACAAGGUUAAACAUUAAUUGCCGUAUCUCUCUCUAUGUGCGUGUGUGUGUGUGUGUUUUGUGUGUCCGUGUGUGUGCGUGCGCGUCCGUGUGAAAGAUUUUCUAAUAUGGGAUUAAAAUUCAGGAUAAGUUAACAAUGGUGUGAACAUAUUUUUACAAUGUUAUAAAAAUAUGUUCACAAUGUUGUCAAUUUGUCUCAGACUUCAAGAAAGUUUGAGAUCCUAAACUAGGUUGCUACUUAUAUAUAAUAAGGGACCCUUAGCUUUUUAAAACAAGAGAUCAUCUAAAAGACAAAAAAUAUAGACAACAAUCAAAUGCACUACAUUAGAGUGUGUGUUUUUCUUGUCUUUUAAUUUAUCCAUUACUUUAACAAAGUAAAGAAUUUCUUAUUUGAAAAAAUUCUCUCUCUCUCUCUCUAUAUAUAUAUAUACUCACCAAGAUCCUACUUUUAUUAAAGUCAAGUAAAGUUAUUAAAAUAUAUGAUUUAAUAGUAUAAUGCCACUAUUAAAUUAUAUCGCUUAAUAGUUUUCUUGGAUUUUAACAAAUUCAAGAUCAUUGAUUGGAACAUAAUACUAUGAAAUUGUAUAGCUUAAUGGGUUUUUCAGACUUUAACAAAGUUUAGGAUCCUGAACUAGAUUAGUACUCUAUAUGUAUGUAUACAUUUAUGUAUAUAAAUUGAUUUUCCUUGUUAGAAAUAUGGUAUAUUAAUCUGCUUGCGUGGUGCAAGCAUGCAUUACAGGCUGAAUUGCCCGAUCAGACUGUAGCUGUGAAGAUGCUUUCUUCUCAAUCAAAGCAAGUGAUUGAUCAAAUAGGAACUGAAGUUUAUGCCCUUACAACACUGAAACAUGAAAAUAUUGUCGAAUUUUUGGAUGGCUACUCUAAAAAAGACCUCAACUUGCUCAUCUACGAAUACAUGGAAAAAGGAUCGCUUGAACGAGCCUUGUUUGGUAAACCAAUUUAUAUAUAUUUUCAUCAUCAUUUUAUUUCUAUCAAUUUUUCAGCUUAGUGCCAUCUUCUAAUCGGGGAAUCCUGAACUUUAUUAAAGUUGGGGAUGAAUUUACAUUUUUGUAAGCUAACUUUUUCACUAUUUUUUUAAAAAUUGUUUUCACUCAAUUCCCGAUUGGAAAAUUAAGUAUUAGCUUAUGUAACAGGUUAAAAUUACUUUUAAAAAAAAAUUAAUAGUUAAAUCUUUGCAGAUGCCAAUUCUUCCACGCGACUUGAUUGGCCAGCCAGAGUCCGUAUCUGCCAUGGAAUAGCAAAGGGUCUAAAGUAUCUACACGAAGAUAAUCCGAGUCGUAAAAUCGUUCACAGAAAUAUUAAGCCUAGCAAUAUUCUGCUUGAUGGGAAUCUGAACGCUAAGGUGUCUGACUUGGGAUUGGCAAAGCUUUAUGACGAAGAAAAUCCAUACAAGUUUAUCCAAGAAAAAGGGACAGUGUAAGUAGCAAAUUAAAUUGAGCAAGCACAAAAUGCCUGCCAUCUUGCACAAGCAAUAUCAUUAAUUAAUUAAUUAUGGUUGCAUGCAGAGUUUACAUGGCACCAGAGUAUGCAAUGCGGAAAGCAAUAACAGAAAAAGUUGAUGUUUUCAGUUUUGGAAUUGUUCUUCUUGAAAUAAUUAGCGGGCAGACAAAUGCCAAGUAUGAAGCAAACCAGGAGACUGAAUUUCUUUUGGAUACGGUAAGAAGACAACAACUAGAGUCAGCUUUCAGUUCGGGAAUCUCAAAUUUUAUAAAGCUCUACACAAUACCCUUUUCAUGGUUUACAGAAUCCUUCACUUCAAAAAUUCCAGGAUUCCCAGAUUGAAAAUAUCUCCUCUAUAUACAUAAAAUAAGGUCUUAAUUUAAUUUGCUAACGAUGUCGCAUGGCAUGGGAUAUAUGGAUUAAUUAAUAAAUAAAUAAAUAAUGUACACUGUGCAGGCCAUUGUGUUGCAUUCAAAGGGAAGGCUUUCUGAAUUGGUCGACAAGCAAAUGCCAAAUGAGCAUGUAGUGAUGAAGCAAGCCAAAAUAAUCUUGGAUUUGGCAAUGAGAUGCGUGGAUCAGUCACCUACUCUCAGGCCAACCAUGUCUGAAGUUUUGAGCGAGCUUGAGCGCAUCUCUAAUUAGAUCUGAACUGCUCAGGAUUCUAUGGUUCCUCGUGGAUCCUUAUUGAACGCUGGACUGGAAUGUCUUGGUGAAGGUUAAGCCUAUAUACUACGAUUAUGCAUAUUUAUGUACACCGGGCAUUAUCUUAUGUUGACGGUGCACUGCUGCUUUCAAAUAUAUAUGGGUCGCUAUAAUGCUGUAAACUUUUAACAGCAUUAACAAUGUAAUAAAUGUAUACCAUUAGAUUUAAUUACUCUAAUGCAAUAUUUGUGUUAAAGUAAAAGAUAUCUUAAUUAAUAAUUAUUUUAAACGGUUAAGAAAGUGUGGUCAUUUUUGUAAAAUUAUUACAACCACCCUUAUAAUUUGAAACAAUUGUACUUGAAUAAUAUUUUUAUUUAAAUAUCACUUUUAAAACAUAUUUUUUAAAUAACUUGCAAUUAUAAGAUUUAUAUAUGGUCUAAUUCUAAUAAACAACACAACUAAAUAUGUACAUUUAAAUGAAUAUCAUAAUUUUUUGAAAAUAAUGUUUCAAAAUUUAUUACCAAUGAGCAUGUAAGAUAUGAUAUCUAAUAGAUUAUCUAACACAAAUUGUAUAAAUAACUUACAAUUAUAAGAUUUAUAUAUGGUGUAACUCUAAUAAACAACACAACUAAAUAUGUACAUUUAAAUGAAUAUCAUAAAUUGCAUAAAUAAACUUUUAAGUGAGAUUGAUUGUAUUUUAUAUAUAUUAGGACCUUUGUAUAACUGAACUGAAACAUAUAUUACCUUUGAAACCCAUUUCUCAAAUAUGCCAAGUUCAACCCAGGACACGUAGGCUCGGCUUGGGUUGGGUUUUCCUACUAUCCCUAUUGCCAAGUGAUGUACUAUAUGGAAAAUCCCCACAUGAAAUGCUUUUUGAUGUACCGCCAGAACUAUCUUGCUUAAGAGUUUUUGUUUGCUUGUGUUUUGAUAAGAAUUUAUAGAUUAAAAAUAAAUUUGACCAACAUGUAAAAGGGAUAUCAUAUUACAACCCAUGUAUUAUAUGCAAAUUCUAUUCAGUUCUAAGUACGAAUUUGAUUAUUGUUUUUUACUUUAAUGAAUAUAAAUUAGGGUUGGGCUAUUUAAACCCACCAUAGUACAUUAUACACCCACUUUUCCAUAAAAAAAAUAAUUACGAAAUGUCCAUGAGUUAAAUUACUAUUAUAUCUUAAUGAAAUUAGCCUAUCCUCUCCGACAUCUAUCUAUGAAUCCAAUUAACUUAAAUUGAUUUUUCUACAAAAAGAGUAGCAGAGAGAAAUGUUUUAAUUUUGUUUCAUUUUCUUUUCACCUAUACUCUUCCGAGUACACUUUUAUAGCUAUAUUUUCUUUUAAUGUGUGACAUUGUUGGUUAGCAAACUUCUACGUCUUGGAUUCAAUCCCCUUUCAACUCAAAUAUGUUUCUCAACUAGAGAUAUAAUUAUUUUUAGACUCAAUUAAGGAGCAAAGAGAAAAUAAAAUCUGAAUUUUUUUUGGCUUUUCUUGCAUUUAUGAUGCAAUCAUGCAAUGAGUUCCAUUAAACUAAUUAGAAAAUGUGUUCGAUUGAAUUCAUUACAUGUUAUGAAUCUUGACAAGGAUUAGACAAUAAAUUAAAAAUAAAAGUCAUAUAAUCAAUCAUAAAGAAAACAAAUCAUGCGAGAUGGCUAAGCCAUUGAUAUUUUAAUUUAUUGUUGGGUAUGAUUCAAAUAUACUUUCAUAGCCUUAACGUACUUUCCCAACAGGUGAUUCUGUAUUUCUAGGGAUAAAACAUUUGAAAGCAAUUUAGUAAAGGUAUAUUCGCAAUGAGGUGGGUUUAUAAUUAAAGUAAAAAUUUCAUAUGUAAGAGAGGUUUAUUGAGAGAAUGUGUUGAAAGAGUAUUUUAAUGGGUUCUAAUAGCCUUAUCCUAUAUAUUAAUAUCACUAAGGGAUUUUACCAAUGACCCAUCAAAGAUGUAUUAGUGGAAUUAAUUAGCAGGUGCUUCGUUUUAUAUUCAUAAGACCUAUGACUUGUGUAUUAUUACUACAUUGUAUGUUGGAAAUAGAAGAGGACUAAAUUGCUCAAUAUUAAAAUUAUUUGGGUAAUAGAAGAAUUUGUUAAAUUGAAGGACUUUAGUGAUAGUUUACAAGAAAAACGCUACAACACUCACGGGUCACUCGUCUUUCUCUCUACUAAUUCUUCACUCUUUACUUGAUGCCUACAACAAAGAGCUUUAAGGAUAUUUGUAGUAACUUAAAAUUAAUAUAAAUCGCACAAAUAUCAAAUUGCAAAAAUUUAAUAACCUCAUUUUACAAAUAUCACCAAAUAUUCAAGAACAUUCUAGAUUUAGAUAUUUUUACUUUUAUUAGAUAUUUUUUUAAAUUAGAGUCAUGUUAGAGUGCAAUUUAUGCACUAGUUUUGCAUUGUUUACUUCCCUUAAUAUCGAUGUUUUGCACUUAAUAAUAAUAUUUUACUUGUGUUUUACUUUUGUAGGUGCAAUUCUAUUGAUUGAUGAUAAAAUUGAGCUAAAAGAUGAUGUUUAAGGAGGAUUGUUCUCUUAGAGAAAUUAUGAGCGUCAGAAGAACUUUGUUGAUAAGGCGUGGGCGCGUGCUGUCAACUGCGGACCUGCAGUUUUUAGUUUAACGUGUUUUGUAUUUUUGGUUAUUUUUGUAAUUACGAAUUUAAUAUUUCAGAUAUUAGUAUUUUAUUUUAAAUAGAAUUCUAAAAGAGAAGAGAGAGAGAGUAUUUAAGGGAGGAAUCUAUUGUGAAAAAGGGGGAUUUUUUUGGAUUGGAGAAAAAGAAAGAAACCCUAGAUUUAAUCUUUUCUCUCCUCUCUAUGAAAAACUAAACUUAUUUUUCUGAUUGAAGGUUAAUGAAGCUUUGAUUCAUUACUACUGUGAGAUCUUUCUUGUGCUUUAAUUGUUUUAUUGCUUUUUGGGUAUUUGUUUAUUCUCUGAAUUAUUUUCAUGAUUAUGUUUGUUAAUUAGGUAAUUGGCCACUAUUUAAUUAUCAACUUAAUCUAUUGUCAAUUAAAGGAUUCAUCGUAUGAAGAAUUUAAUGUUUGUGACAAAUAACAUAGCAGAGAGUUGUGUUGUGAGAAUAAACAAUCUAAUUUAAAUGAAUCAUCAUAUGUGUUGAUUAGGAUUUGGGUCUCUCUGGUUUUUCAGGUUGUCAAUUGAUUAAAUCCUAUGAUCGUAUCUAGGGUUGUCUAUUGAUUAGGGAAAUAACCAACAGUCGUACCUUGGUUAUCGACUAGUUAAGGAGAGAUUGGCUAUUAGAGGGUCUCAGUAGCUAUAACCGGUCUAUUCAUGAGUAAUAAUAAUCUAUAUUUGAAUCAAUGAUCAGUAGUCGAAUCAAGCUGAGUUAAUUCCUUCAACCAGAGCUUUCUCUAAUUUGAAUUACAACUUUAAUUUGCAUUCUUGUUAUUUUAAUUUGAUUUUUAUUAUUGUCAACAAUUCCCCCAUUUUACGUUUUACGUUUCAAAAGGAUUUAAAUAAUUACCGAUCUCUGUGGACACGACCCUGCUCAAUCACUAUACACAAUUUAUUUAGAGUAGGAAUUUAUUUUUGUUGGCUUCGACAACCACCAAAUUUUGGCGCCGUUGCCGGGGAUUGGUGUCAUUUAUUUAAUCCUUUUUACGUUUUACUUGGUGUAUGGUUCGUUCUUCUCGUACAGGUACACUUUCGUUUGAUCCUGAAAUUGAGAAGACAGCUCGCCAGCUGAGACAGCAGACACAGUGAGCUAAGCAAUGAUCCUCGUCGCCUUUGCUUUCUGAAACAGAUACAGUGCCUGAUUUAGUUGAAUUAUCUAGCGAUUCAGAAGAACAAGUGAUGGAUAGACCUGCACAUGUAGAAAGAACUCUUAGAGAGUUAGCUGAACCAGACUUGAAUCAGCAACCGCUCUGCAUUCAAUAUGUAGACUUGGAGGUAAAUUUUGAUGAUUAAAUUUCUCUCUACUAAUUCUUCACUCUUUACUUGAUGCCUACAACAAAGAGCUUUAAGGAUAUUUGUAGUAACUUAAAAUUAAUAUAAACCGCACAAAUAUCAAAUUGCAAAAAUUUAAUAACCUCAUUUUACAAAUAUCACCAAAUAUUCAAGAACAUUCUAGAUUUAGAUAUUUUUACUUUUAUUAGAUAUUUUUUUAAAUUAGAGUCAUCUCUCAUUUUCUACACAAUUCUUGAAACUUCCAUGGAUUAAACUUUGAAACUGGGCUUGGCUAAGUAUAAUUGGAUUAGAUCAUGACCCAACACCAACUUUCAUCCUUUGAUCCAUAUUUAGCUGUUGCUAGAACUCUUGAAACUUUUCGAUACUAAGAGUUUUUGUAAAUAAAUCCGUAACUUGAUCAUCCAUCUUGAUGUAUAACAUUUCAACUUUAUCUUACAAGACCUUUUCCCUGAUGAACUGAUAGUGCACCUCCACAUGCUUAGUUCUCCAUUAAGCUUAUAGUCGAUUGGUUAUCAUAAUACAAUGAUACUGCGUAAUCUACUGGUUGGUGUAGCUUCUUCAUCAACUGCGUCAGCCAAGUGCUUUCUUGAGCUGUCAUCACUACUACUCUAUACUCCACUUAUGUGGUGAUAAUGAUAUAGUUGGUUGUCUUUUACUACACUAAGAAACUGUUCCAGACCCAAUUCUAAAAACAUAUUCAGUAGUUGAUCUUCUUGUAUCAUGAUCUCCGGCGUAGUCAACAUCAUAAUAGCAAGUCAGCUUGUAACUUUCACUUCUUGUAACUUUCACUUUCUUUUACAAUAUACCAAAGUUGAUUGUAUUUUUCACAUAUUUUAGUAUUUGUCAAACCAUUUCCAAAUAAAGCUUCUUUGGAUUUUGCAUGUAUAAGCUUAUUGCACCUAUUGCAUAUGAAAUGUCUGAUCGAGUCAACGUUAAGUAGAUUAAACUUUUUACAAAUUGUCGAUACAUUGUUUCAUCUUGUAAAUCUUUGCCUUCAUGUGUGCAAAAUUUUGCAUUGACUUCCAUUAUAGUUGAGAUUGGCUUGCAUUCUAACAUUCAAAACUUCUUCAACAAGUUUUUGGCAUAUUUCUGUUGGCAAAAGAAUAUCCCCUCUUCUAUUCGAUCAACCUCCAUACUAGAAAAGUGCUUAAGCUAACCAAGUUCUUUCAUCUAGAAAUGAGCUAAUUAGUUCUCCUUUUCCUCACCGAAUCUCUUCUCCAUCGUCACCAUAAAUAAUCAAAUCAUCCCUGUACCCCGGUAUAGUUGUUAACUUUCCUUCACUAGCUUUGACGAAUAAGCUAGAGUCUACAUGUGCUACUGCCACUCUAAGUUAGAAAUUCAACAAUCUUACCAUACUAUGCCCUUUGUACAACCGUAUAAUGCCUUUCUUAGCUUGCAUACAUACUUCGGAUGAGCUUGAUUCUCAAAACCUCUUAGUUAGUUCAUGUAGAUCUCUCGAUCCAAUUCUGUGUAGGAAGACAUUUUUUACAUCUAUCCGUCAUAAUUUCCUUUCUUUGCUGGCUGCGAGUACAUGUAGAAGUCUUGAUGUUGUGAGCUUUAUCAUCAAACUAAAUGUUUUAUCAUAGUCUAGCCCGUAUUGUUGUGAGAAUCCUCGAGCUACCAACCGAACUUUGUGUCUUUCAACUGAACCAUCUGGGCAAUUUUUAAUCUUGUACACCCAUUUGCAAGAUAUUUUAUAUCCUUUAGUUUCGGAACCAAAUCCCAAGUUUGAUUAUGCUUCAAUAAGGUGAUUUCUUCCUUUAUCGCCUUCAUCCAAUGAGAAUUCUCUGCUACUUAUUCAAAUGUCUCGGGUUCUUUUACUUUUUUCUUCUUCUGCAACUACUACAUUAAUGUACCUGAGAUUUACCUUUCUCAUUCUUUUGGAUCUUUUAAGUUGAAAUUUAGAAGUUCUUGGUUCUACUUUAUUUGGUUCUUCGUCUACAAUAGAGCUCUAGUGAACACUUGUCUUUCAAGGACUUUGCGCCUUAUUAUGCUCAAUAUCAUCAUCCCUUCGAUCAUCAGAAUCUUCAAAUUCUUCUUCGCUCGAGUGAAUUUCAAUAAUUCGUUCCUUUAUUUGGUCUCCAAUUUCUUUUGAAUCUAAUAGCUCUUCUUUUUCUAAAGACUAUCAUGAAGAUGCUUCGUCAAACACCACAUUUCGUUUUGUGUAGCACCGUCCACUAGUAGGAUCACAACACCUCCAUUCUUUCCUCCGACAUUCAUACUCGACAAAGAUACAAUAAUCGCCUUCUUGUCAAAUUUGCUUCGUAAGUGGCUUGGUACUAAGACAUAGCACACAAAGGUAGAGGCUUUACAUUCCACAGCUUCUCGUAAGGUGAUGUGAACCCUAGUUUUGGUUAAGGAAGCCUGUUGAUCACAUGAGCUAUCGUCUUUAUAGCUUUGGCCCAAAAACUUCUUGGCACAUUUUUCGCAUGUAUCAUAUUCUGAUAGAUCUCCCUUAGAUGCUGCUUUUUUUCAUUCUGCUACUCUAUUCUAUUGUGGUAUAUUGGCACAAGUGAACUAAUGGCAUAUCUUAUAGUCUUAAAGAUACUAGGAGAACUCAUGUGAUGUAUACUCUCAUCCACUAUCUAUUGAUAAUUAGUAAAGCUUCUUUCUUACUUCUCCUUUGACUAUGUUUUUAAAUUCCUUAAACUUUAAAAAAGUAUCAGAUUUUUUUUUUAUAAAGAGGACCCAAACAUAUAUGGAGAAGUCAUCGAUAAAUGUGAUCAUGUAUCGCAUGCCGCUAAUAGAAGAUUGCUUGACAUGCCCAAACACGUCAUAAUGUACCAACUGUAAUAGUUUUUUUGCUCUGAACUUUGACUCCUUAUAUGGGAGUUGGUGAGCCUUGCCGUAUUGACACCUUGCACACACCGUGUUUAUUCUCACAUCAAGUUGAGGCAGACCUCUGAGCAUUGACUUCGGACGUUAUCCAACAUGAAUUUAUUAUAAUGAAGUGUUUGAAUACAACCAUUUUUUGCUGUCCCAGGCCAUGCCAAAGGAUAAUUGAUACAAUACAUCUAAAAUGGAGAAAGGAAGGAAAAAAAAAAAAGGAUGACCAAAGUAAUUUGGCGAAUUACAUUAAAAAGGAAAAACAGUUUUGGAGCUCCAAAGAUGCCGACUCUGUUAUGGAUUUCCUCUACCAGUUGGAAGUUUUCCAACAAUGACUAGAGUAUGUCAUUAUAUUUUUCGUGCAAGAUUACUGAAACCAGAAGAAUCUGCUAAAUCUAUUCUUUUGUCACUGAUCAACAUAUAUGUAGGAAACAUAGAUCAAUGUUUUUUUGUUAGGCAGGAAGCCAACAACUAAAACUACAAAUGUUACUAACAAAUAGCUAAGAAUCAUAAGGUGAUCGAGGAGGAAACGAUCUUCAAAAUCACAAUCAAAUAGGAAAAAUGAAUAAACAGCCCACACUAGGACAAUAGCACUUCUUUUACAGGAAAGAUGAUGUGCUUAAAACAGCUAAAGCUUGAUAAGCAGCAGCGAUGAAAUGAGCUCAAACUACAUUUAAGCAAUCUAUUAGAAAGCUCAACCUAUUCCCAAAAAAUUAGACUCAGAUCUCGGUCUCAUAUGUCUAUAUUAUGCAAAUCAGUACAGAGGAAAAGCUAAAAUGAAAAAAAUAACUAUUUGAAGCUCAUGUUUUAUUUAACUUUCUUUUGAUCUUUAAUCAAAUGGCACUAUACAAUGCAGCAAAUGAGUAUUUAGUUUCAUUCCCCCAACAGCAGUGAACCGAAAAAUACCACACAUUCGAUUUAAUAGAUGAAGUUCUCUUCAUAUCAACAUAUCCAAAAAUUAAAAAUCACCUCUUUGCAAUUUUCUUGAUGUGCAGCCAAAAGCUCAUUAUAUUUCAAUUGCAAAUCUUACAUUUCAGCUUGCAGCUUCUCAUAUUCAGAGACACUAGGAGCUCCUAAUUUCUAUUGAACAAACCUGCCCACCAAAAUAAAUAAACAAAAUAGAAAAACCCAAUUUUUCAGCCAAUUAAAUGAUCCCAUUUGAAAGAAGAAAAGAAUUACAUGAACUUACUCAAGAGCAAAAGAAGGCUUGUCAUUUUGCUCAUACAAUGCAACAAGAACCGGAAGCAACAACAACAACAAAAUGAAACAGAAAUUAAAAUUCAGUUGAAAUAAAAAUAAAAAUAAAAAAAGAAAACGAAAAAAGAGAAGAUGAAAGAGAGGAAUGGAAACCUUUGGUGAGAGCAUCAAGAACGCCACUAGAAUCUAAGUACUUCCUGAAAGCUUCCUUUUUGGCUUCUUUUUCCGGCAAAAAGAUUAAGUGGGGGUUGAAGAUUUCAGCAGAUAUGGUGAUUAUCAUCAAGUGGAUCUGCAUUAUGCAUACAUUAGUGUUACUUCUUUGUAUCGCAUCAUCAUCUGCUCUCUAAUCUUCUUCUUGUGCUCUUCUUGUUGCUGAUGGUAUCACUGAUUCUGUUCAGACAAUGAAAAAUCAAAAAGAAAAGAAAAGAGGAAAAAUCACAGAAAAUUAGAAGGGUUAAUUUCAUUGCACCCCUUAAUUGUUAAUUUAAUUUUAAUUAACCCCAAACGAAACUCUGCACAAUGGACCUACUCUAUUCUAGCCUAAAGUUUUAAACCCAACCCAACCCACUAAACUAACAUGUGACUUAAAGAGAAAGCAAUCAACAAAAAUAAUAAAAAUAAGGUUCUUUAGCACGUUGCACACAUGAUCUGCUGAGUGACCCAGUUGAAAAUGUUAUUUGGUUUAUUCACUGUUUAAGUAGUAUUCAUAAAGUAUGAUAAAAUUGUGUCUCCUUUGUAAUUGUGCUCACUAUAUAAUUAGCGAAAUUGUUCAUCGAAUCAUUUGUAAGUAACCCGACCCUACCCAUUAAACUCAAUAAAAAGAAAACGACAAUUAAAAUAUUUAAAAGAUGGGUUCAUUUUCGUUGUCUGGUUUUGACUCUUCAACGCAUUACAUGCGUUAUGCUAAAUGAUACUAUCCACUAGAGCUGACAAAACGGGUCAUCGGGUCGUGUUCGUGUCGUGUCAGUUUCGUGUCGUGUCAAAUUUAGGUCGACCCAAACUCGACCCAUUUAAUAAUCGUGUCAAAAUAUUGAGACCCAAACCCGACACGAAAAAUAAUCGGGUUAUCCAAUAACCCGUUUAAUAUCUAUAUAUUGAACAAAAGUUACAUCAAAUAUUUACACACUAUCAUACAUACGUAUGUACAUACAUAUAUACAUACAUACAUACAUAAUUUAUCGAUAUUAUAAAAUAUACAUAUCUACCAAUAUAUUACACAUUUACACUAUUGAGGUUUUAAUUAUAUAUAUAUAUAUAUAUAUAUAUAUAUAUAUAUAUAUAUAUAUAAAAAAUAUUAUAUAUCAAUAUUAUAAAAUAUACAUAUCUAUCAAUUUUUACACAUUUACACUAUUGAAACUCUAAAUGUAUGUAAAAUUUUAUAAAUAAAACACUGUAUUUAUAUUCACCCUUUUAAAGAAUAAAAAAAAAUCAUCUCUAAUAUUUGAGUUUUAAUUAUAAGAAUAUGUAAAUUAUUUUAAAAUAGAAAAUAUAAUCGGGUCAUUGAUCGGGUAAAUGGGUCAAGAAUUUUAACCCUAACCCGACACGGAAAAAAAUCGUGUUGACCCAGACCCGACCCAUUUAAUAAUCGUGUUAAAUUUGAUGACCCAUACCCAUUUAUUUAUGUCGUGUUCGUGUCCGGUAAUCGGGUCGUGUCAAAUUUUGCCAGCUCUACUAUCCACAAUGUUAUUUGUUUAGCCUACGGUUUUAAACAUAUGAAAUCAUUCAUAUGGUGUCAUAAAAUUAUGUGUCGCACGUAAUUAGGGUGCGUUUGAGAUUGAAGUGCCGUAACUUUUAUUUAAGCUACAACUGUUGUGGAAAAAAAUUAUAAUUAUGAAACAAAAGUUGGUAACAACCAUGUGGAAAUCAACAAUAAAGGAAACAUUAUUAUUAACAAUAAAGGAAACAUUAUUAUGAAGCCAUAGUUCACCAAGGAAUCAAUACGUUCAAUUUUUUCCAACUUGUCCUGAAAAGCAUUCCACCUACGUGUAAAAGGGCACUGUUUAUCCUGCAAUUGUGUUCCUCUUGUUAAUACAAAUGUACAUGACAAAGGUAAAUCAUUGGCUUUUAAAGGGAACAUGCAAAGUCACCUCAAUUUUUGUGUCACUGGUUUGAUCCUGGACAUUUGAAUUUAUCAAUUGUCUUCUCUCAUCAUGCUUGACUGAUUCUUGCAAAGGCAUUUUUGUUUCAGAGGUUUUCCUUGAAUGAGUGGUUCUGUAGGCAGAGUCAGUAUGUAUUGUUUCCAUGACUGAGCCAAAGAAGUUUGUCACAGAUACCUAUACAGAGAAAGAGAGAAACAAGGGCAAAUUCUUAGUCAAAACUCAGAAGUUAUUUCAACCCCAACAAAAAUUUUGAAUAAAAAGGUAGCAUCAGCUUCAAUACUAAUCAACAAAUGUAAAGCAUAGAGGUGAUUCACCUCAAAAAGUGAUCAUAGUUUGCUUCGAAAUUAGUAAUAUUUAUUAUGACAGUGGUAAACCAUCCUCAGUUAUCCAUAAUUAAGUUUAACAUAGACCAAAGGCCCCUUCACAUCGUUCAGCCAAGCAACCACUAAGCUGAAGAGGUUUAACAAAACAACAUCUAUGUAUAAUUAAAAAAUAAGCAUAAGAUGUACGCAGCUUGUGCAUGUGAAAAAUGAGCACAAACUUCACCUAAACAACCGUAAAGAAUAAAAAAAAAAAAAAGAUCAGAGCGAACCAGUUAGAAUGGAAAUGUAGAAUAGAAAUACUACAAGGAUCGGAGAAAAGCCCAGAACUUCCAUACCUCCUCCAAUUUUCUUUGGUAUAGAUCUGUUCGGUAAUAUGUAGUUGACAUCAACAGAGUUGGAUUGUAAGAAGUGAAAAGACUGCAAAACAACCAUGAAAACAGAUAAUGCUGAAGCUAACCUUGAAGAAAUAUGGAAAUUCACAGAUGUGCCAUAGACAGGGAUGGGCAAAAUCCCAGGCCAGCUCAGGGUCUUAGGCUCCAUUCGGUACUGCUGUAUUGUGGCUGUGCUUCCAAAGCAAAGCUACCAAAGUGUUUAGUAAAACACUUUCAGCUUCAUUUUGGAAGCUAAGCUAAUUCUACCCAUAGUUGUUCUAUGAAAAAUUAUUACCCUCACUAACUUACCUUUAACAAACUUCAAAGCUUUGAUUACCAAACACUAAUUUAGUUUCACUAGAUAGCUAGAGCUCCCAUUUCACAGAAGUCGCGGCUUCAAAGCCUCAACACCACAAUCCCAUAAGAAGCCUUGCUGGUGGGUUAUAAAACUUAUAUUGGUAUACAAGCUUAUGUGUCAGAGACUCUAAGAUACUACUCUUAUAACAAGCACAAAGUCCUACUUUCGUGUACCUGCUCAAUGACGCAUUGUCAUACAUAUUCAGCUUUUCAAAAAAAGCAAGGGUAUAAAAUGUGAAACGAUCCACGACAGAUACUCCAACCUGAAGUUAAUAAGAGAUGUUCAUAUGUAAGAACUGCAAUUGUAGAAGCAAAAUAAAAGAUUGAAACUUCAAAAGCAGGGUAUACUAGGUCCUAUAUGUUUAAAGGAUUGGUAAACAAGAAAAUUCUAUCUUCUUAGCACUUACAUCAGAGUCCAAGUGAUGAGAAUAUGAGUUCUCCCCUUUCAUGCUACUUCCAAUAGCUAAAACACCGGGAGAAUGAAGCUGCACAAUUUAAAAAAGGCGUUUCCUUCAGCAUCAAAAUCACUGGUUAGGUAAAUCAAAUUUUUAAAUGUAUGCUAAGUUAAAAGACUCAGAAAGUCACGUCAAUGGAUCCAAAUUUGAUUCAGAAGCUUGUUACUAAACUCAAAACUUAGAUGAUAGUGACCAGAUAUGUAAACAAAGAGGCAUCUCACAAAAGCCGAGAUGCACAACAAUUGAAAACAUAGCUUUCAUGAACAAACUUUUGGAGAUCUCAUGCGGCAGAGCAGGUGUGUUGGCCCACCAAUGAAACAGAUAACUGCUUGAGUAUAAAGACAUUUGAUUCUUAACUAAUUACGAGUAGUCACCAAUAAAAGAGCAGCUAUGAAGUGGUUCGUAAUUUAACCAUUCGAACCGAGCAACAUAGUUAAAGAUUUUUCUUCACACUACCAUGUGCAUGUUUCUCUAGUUUAAAAAUAAUACUGCAGAAAAGUAAAGUCUAAUAAUCACUAGAAGUAACUAGUCUAAUAUUUGUGAAAAGUACAACCCAUUUAGACCCGCCAUACUAACCUGAGAGAAGAGUGUGGCAGCUUGGCAAGUGUCCACCAUUAUCAGCAACUCCUUGAAUCUAAUUUUCUGAUAAGACACACAAGCUCAUUAUUAAGCAGGAUCGUAAAUGUAUAAAUGUAAACGGCCACCAAAUCUACCAUAAAUGAUUAGCAUUUCAUAUCGGCAUUUUACAUUGAGAAAUAAAUAUGUUUCAUCUAUGCACCAUCCAAAAUGGCAGAACUACAGGUCUAUAAACCCUUUUACUUUCAUUCUUAUGGUUGAAUGUUACUGUUAAAGGCAAUAGGCAUGAAAGCAGAAUACAAUCUCACCUGUGCUUUUCUUUCAUUUGCUUCACUGCAUCUGCUAGAUCAUGACUUUGGAGCUCUUCUGAGUCCUGAAAUUUUAAAAAUUCAUCUCCCCCAUGACCCGUCAUGUAUAGAAGAAUAUGGCUUCCUUCAUCACUUAAAAGACGCUUUGAUCUAGGAACAGCAGCCUCGUGACGCCCGGUCAAAACUCUUAAAAAGUUUUCAACUGUCACUUCAUAACCAUGAUAGUCUACCUGAGUGAUUGAAGUUUAGUAAAAUGAGGAUCUGCUAAACUUUAAUUUCCCAGAAGCAAGGCAUGUUCAGUAAUUAUACACCAUUAAAUUUAAAUUCUUGAUUGACUGUCUCCAUAAGGUGUUCAUUGAAAGACUUAUAAGGAGACGGCACCCCCUUUCAAAACCUAAAGACCUAAGCAGAGUGUCUGGAGAACACAGUACCAACUUCGACAUUAUCUCCAUACAAAUUAAGUUUGUGGUUCUCGUUAUUGAAAACUUGUGCAGGAUACUUGUUUCUAGCAUUACAAGCCAUGUCAUCUGCCAGCAUAAGUAUUAUCCUCUCAUCGGGUAUUCCUAGCCGCUUAACUGUUCUGAAAAAUCAAGUUAAAGUGCACAGUCUACAAAUGAAAAGAGGAGGGAAGAGAAAAGCAAAUUACUUCACAAGACGAUGCGAAAACAACAAACUAAUCGCUUACCUAUACAAGGAUAAUGUAUUAGCCAUAUGUCGAUAAUUGAACCUGAACAAACCAAUUUAGUGAUUAAUUCCAUUGGCAAGGACAUGGAAUCGGUUUUUAGUCCAUCAAAACAAUGCCAUUUGACGUGGCAAUAGAAGUUUAUGAAUCCAAGCAAUAGAAGCUUGAAGAAUCAAGCUCAUCAACAAUAAUGCAGUAAUAUUAGCUGAAACUCAGAAAUUACAACACAAGAAAGAGAAAUUGGACCAUGGGUAUUGUUCAUCAUCAACAUUGUUAGAAAUGGGGUAUAAUUUAUAAUGAAACGGGAAAGCUUGAAUUCUUCCAAAAAUUAAAUCAAAAUCGGGAAAAAAUAUAAAAACUGAAAAUAAAAUAAAAUGAAAUAAAAUAAAAAUGAAGGUGAUUUAGUUACCAGAAGCGAGAAGUGCAAACCAAGACAGCCCAAUUGUUAGUGUGCAUAGUUGUCUCAGCUGAAGCUCUGUACGAAGUCGAACUGGAGAGAAUCAAAAGCAACAGCAUCGCCGCCAAACUUUUGAAACCAAAUGAAUUGUACAUCUUGUACCGGACCAUCAUUUUCUCGCGAAUUUUAAUUUUCUGGGUGGAAAACUCAAAACUGUGAUUUAAAUUUUAUUCGUUUUUGCUGAGGAUGAAAUCUGUUGUUGCAGUUUCAGUGACGCAAACAGUGCUCCAGCCGGAUCCACGUCCCGAAGUUGAAAAUAGGAUACAAAUUUAAAUUUAGCCCCGUUUGAUGUGGAAAUUGAAAUUGAAUAAAAUGUUUAUUUUAUAAUUUAUGAUAAAAUUUGUAUUUGGUAAAUUUUAUAAAAACUGCUAUUUUUUUUGUAGAGAAUUAUUUUUCAUAAACAUUUUAUUAAAUAAUUUAUUAUACAUUAAUUUUUAUUAUAAUCUUAAUAUUUUUAAAAAAUAAUUAUAUCUUAUUUUUUCAUACACCAUAAUAUUAAGCCGUUAGAUAUCAUAUUACUAUCACAAUCAAAUUACAGCUACAACUAGUGUAUAUUCUCUCUAGUAUCAAAGUUUUAAUCUAGUAAGUUUAUAUUUUUUUUAUAUUUUACUUGUAUUUCCUAUUAUAAAAUUAAAAAAAAAUUGCAUAUAAUUAUGUAAAUUUUUUUGAACUUUGAACAAUUUCACAUGAAUUAACCAUAACUUUUAAAAUUAAUUUCAUAAACUUGAUUUUUAAUAUUCAAUCUAUUUAUAUUUUUUCCGUGUUUAUUACAUCAUGUUUAAUAUUAAUGUAAUGUAUAUUACUUUUUUUAUCUAGAUUACGUAUAUAAUAAAUUUAUUUAUUUUUUUAGUUUAUGUCAUUUUACGUUUUUUUUUAAAAAGUUAUGUCUAAACAUCAUUAAAUAUAAUAAAAAAAUAAAAGAUAAUUUAAACUUACGUAUGUUUUGGUUAUUAUAUAAUAAAACAAUAUAUUUAUAAUAAAAUUAAGCAAACACACGUACAUUACUUUUAAAAUUUACAGCAACUGAGACAACGCAGCUUACUAAACACCAAGCAACUUUUUUAAUUAGCUGCUUAUUGUAUCCGUACAGUAAAAGCUGUUAGCCUAAAGGGCUAUACAUAAUGUAAUUUUGAUGAUAACAAACAUAUGUAUUGAGUGAUUUAAUAAAUAUUGUAUUUCACAUUUUUACUAGUUUUUGAAGGAUAAUAUUUAUACAAGUAAAUCAAGUGAAAUCAAGAUUGAAGACACUCAACGGACAAUGGCGACAUCAAGAAUAGUUUAGAGCUCAACGAACAAAUUAGUGCAAUAAAUUCUUGUAAAGCCGGUAUGAUUUAAUUGAUGUUUGAUUUAGCAUUUGAGAAGCUCAAGAAAUUAAUUUAAUUAAAUAAUUUUCAUAAACUAAAAGUUUUUGUUUUUAUAAAGAAAAGUAUUUUGUGAAUUUAAGUAAUUUGGACUUAAAUGCUAAGAUUUGAAAUCUUUGAUUUUAAUAAGUAUUAAAUUUCGGAGUUGGACGUUUUUACAAACAUUUGAAAUGUUUUGGGCCAUACUAUAAUUUAUGAAUAUUUUGGACUAAAGUGAAAGAUUUUGAGAACUUUGAAAAAUAUAGGUAUUAUGUUGAAAAGGAUCUUUGUGUGAAACAAGAAAAUCUUUGGGGCCAUAUCAUAAUUUCAGAAAGUUUGAGAAAGACAUCUAUUUUUAUGAAGUUCUAAAAUUGGACCUAUUUGCAAAGUUUUCUGACGUUUUGGGCCAUAGUAUAAUUAUAGAAAGUUUUGGGCUAAAGUGUAAUUUUAGUGAACAGUAGUACUGUAGCAAAAUUCAAAAAUAACGGUAAUAUUACUGUUCCUGAGCGGCUAGCCGGAUAAUCAAGCGGCUAACCGCUUGAGCGCUGGAAUUUGCCUAUAACGGCUAGUUUUUGGGCUUUCACUAUAAAAACUCAACUCAAACUUCAUUUUAAGUACUAACACAAGCAAAUAUAAGAUCAUAUAACAUAUAUUGAGCUUCCAUUUCGUAAAUCAUCAUUUGUUGAAUCAUCAUUGAGCUAUAAUUUGUUAUUCACUCUUAAAGAGAGUUUUAUUGUUGUGAAUUUCAUUUCUCAUCAAUUUGUGAGUGUACAAGUGUGGGAAACACUUGGGGUGAAGAGAUUGGGGAUAUAAUCUCUUGUUGUAAAGGUUCAUUGACACCUUGGAAGUCAAUUGUAAACAUUUGAAGCCUUGGGAGGCUUGGAUAGUGAAAUCCUCAAGCCGGGUGAGCUUGGAGGCGUGGACGUAGGCGGGGAUAGCCGAACCACGUAAAAAUCCUUGUGUUCGUUUUCUCUUCCCUUACUCUUUUAAUAUUGUACUUGAUUGAAUUUAUUGUUUUUGAUUUGAUUAAGGCGGUAGAUUAAAUUGUUGUGCGAAUUGUAUUGCAUAAAAUUUAAAAUCCCAAUUCACCCCCCCUCUUGGGUUGCAUAACUUGCAUUUCAUUUGGUAUCAGAGCAAGGUGCUCUUGUGUAGACUUAAUCGUCUAGAGUUAAAGAUCCAUGGCAACCCAUAGUGACUCAACUUUUAGGGAAGGACAAUCCACAAUUAGACCACCAUUCUUUGACGGUAAUGACUACCCAUAUUGGAAAACUAGGAUGAGAAUUUAUUUACAAGCUUUAGAUUAUGAAAUUUGGGAAAUUGUUUGUGAUGGUCCAUUUAUGCCUUUGAUUAAAAACGAAGUUGGGGAAGAUAUUCCAAAACCUUCAAGGGAAUGGAAUGAAUUGGAAAAGAGAAAAGCUUCUCUAAACUCCAAAGCUAUGAAUGCCUUGUUUUGUGCACUAGAUAAGAAAGAGUUUCAUAGAGUAUUUAGUUGUGAAAGUGCUAAUGAAAUUUGGCACAAACUUGAAGUUGUUUAUGAAGGCACGAAUCAAGUGAAAGAGUCUAAAAUUAGUAGGUACACUCGACAAUAUGAAUUGUUUCAAAUGGAACAAAAUGAGAGUGUGUAUUCUAUGUAUACUAGAUUUACGGACAUAGUGAACACUCUAGGAGCCCUAGGAAAGACCUUUUCAAAUAGUGAGAAAGUUAAGAAAAUCAUUAGGUCGUUACCUAAGGAAUGGAGACCAAAAAGGACUGCCAUUGAGGAAGCCAAAGAUUUAAAUAUUUUAUCUAUUGACGAUUUAAUUGGUUCUCUUAUUUCUUAUGAGGAAGAUUUGGCAGCCGAAAGAGGCAAUGAGGAGAAAAAGAAAAGCAUUGCUCUCAAAGCCAUGAAACAUGAAAGUGAUGAGGAAAGCGAGCUGGAUGAGGAAGAGAUGGAUAUGCUGGCUAGGAGGCUUAGAAAACUUUUUAAGAAAUCCGGUGAGCGAAGAAAAUCUAGAGACCUCAAGAACCGAAAGGAGAAGAAGGAAGUAAUCAAAUGUUAUGAGUGCAAGAAGCCCGGUCAUAUAAGAACGGAAUGCCCUCUUCUCAAUAAGCUCAAGAAGAGAGCAAUGGUAGCCACAUGGGAUGAUAGCGAUGAGGAAACAAGUGAUAGUGAAGAACAUCAAGAAAUGACAAAUCUAGCUCUCAUGGCAAUUGGAGAUGAAUUGGAUGAUGAACUUGAUAAGGUAAAUGAUCUUUCUACUUAUGAUGAAUUAUAUGAUGCUUUUAAAGAAUUGCAUGAUAAUUGGAUAAAAAUUGGUAGAAAGAAUGCAUGUCUUAAAAAGAAAAUGGUAAAGCUCACAAAUGAGAAUGAAUCUCUAAGUGCAAAGAUUACAUGCUUAGAAUUAGAGAAUAAAACAUUGCAUGAUAAAGUUGCAUUAUCGAAUGAGAAACCUAGCACUUCACAUGAGCAUCUAGAAUCAUAUGUAGAUGACUUGAAAAAUGAAAAGGAUGCUUUACAAAAAUGCAAUGAUUCAUUAAAUGAAAAGAUUAAAGGACUAGAAUUAGAUAAUAAAAUGUUGCAUGAUAGAAUUGCAUCAUUUAAAGGUAAACAAAGUAUUUCAUAUGAGCAUGAAAAAUCACAUGUUGAUAAGUUGAUAAAAGAAAAUGAAGUGCUUAAGAAAAAGAGUAAUGAGCUCAAUGAAAUUGUGUUAAAAUUCACAAAUGGUCAAAAGAACUUAGAAAAAUUACUAAGCACUCAAAAAUGUGUGUUUGAUAAAGGAGGACUUGGGUAUAAGCCUUAUUUGAAACAAAAAUAUUAUAAGAAUUAUUUUGUUAAGGCUACCUCCACAAGUGAUCAUAAAAUUGUUUGUCAUUAUUGCAAUCAAAAUGGUCAUAUGAGUUUUAGAUGUUCAGUGAAAAGAAAUGCAUAUUAUGGAGCAAAAUGUAUUUGGGUUCCAAAAGGAACCAUUGCUAACACUCAAGGACCCAAGAAUAUUUGGGUACCAAAAUACACAACUUGAACAAUUUUUUGUAGGUACCACAAUCAAGGAAUGGUGGAGAAGUUCCUUGAUGAAAGCUUGUGAGGAUAAUCAUUUGAGCAUGAUCUAGGAGAAAAAGAUGAGGCAAGAUGAUUUAAUUGUUUUGGUAAUAAUUCUUGCCAUAUUAAUUUUGUUGAAUGAAUUAUGAUAAAUGAAUUUGCGAAAAUAUGCUUGUAUGUUUACAUGAUUGAAUUAUCAUUGUGUUUAACAUUGAGUGUUUUAUCAUGAUGCAAGGUUAUAUAUAAAUGAUGAUAGUUUAUCAACUCAUCAUGAUGGAUUUGUUUGAUGUUAAUGUUUAUGAAGUGUUUAAGCAUGAUAGUUAAGUGGUGUGUUUGAUUUAUUAACUUUUGAAUGCUUAUAUGUUUAAUUAUUGUGUAAAUCCCAAGUUUGCACAAGCUGUAAUGAAUUGGUCAUAACUCCUUCUAGAGAAGUCCAAAUCCAUCUCUGUAAAAUUUAUUGGAAAGCUAACUUAAUUAUCUUUCCAACGGUAUAUAGCUUGCAUGUUAAUUCUGGCUCAAUCAAUACAGUUUUUAUUUCGAAGUUGACCUUUCUGCAUUUUCUUAAGUUUUGAAUGCUUAUAUGCUUCAUGAUUGUAUGCUUGAUGGAUGGAUUAUUUGUUUGAAUUAAUUAUCUUUUGGAUGUUUAAAAUCAUGAAUUGUGCAUUAAAUUGGCUCUUGAGAUGUUUCGGGAUCACAAAAUGAUCACGGAAUUGAUAGAAACAAGCCGAAAAGCAAGUAGAGUGCAAGUGGACAGCAACCAGGCGGCUAGCCGCUUGGAAAACUGUCCCAAACCCGAGAGCAAGCGGCUAGCCGCUUGCCCCCAAGCGGCUAGCCGCUUGGUCACUGGUUGGGAAAUUUUUUUUGCUUGUUCUUCUUCCUUCGUGAUUUUUCUGCACAUGUUUCUCUUCUCUCACCAAAACCGUGAACAUCCUCUCCAUUUUCACCUCCAUUUUCUUCCUUUUUCAUCCAUUUUCAUGCCCAAAUCAACCAUUCAAACUAAUACCCAUGCAUUUCAUCUUCAUUAAACACUUCUCCAUCAUGAUUUCUUCACUUAUUUUUCACCAUUUCAUCAUCAUCUCUCACGAGUGAACAGUACCUCACCAUUUCUCUCUCAAAAUUCUUCAUCUUUCACUCAUUUUCUUGUUAAAAUCAAUCAUCCAAAUCAUUAUUCAUCCAUUACUCCUUCAAUUUUCGUUCUCAAAACUUCAUUUCAUCAACUCUCCACAUUAAACCCAAAAUCAAAAACCUAACUCUACCCGUUUCUCUCUCUACAUUUUCAAGCUUCCUUUAGCCCAUUUUUGAUCCAAUCUAACUCAUAUGUUAGCUUCAUUCAUCUCUAGGAUCAAUUUUCUUGGCUCAAACAAAUCCAUUUCACUCAAUUUUUGUUAAACCCGAAAUUGCAUAUUUAAGCUCUUUUUAAUCCACUUUUGAUCCAAUCAUCACCAUCCAUUAUCUUAAAUCAUCUCUUGGAUCAAUAUAAUCGGUUUAAAAUCAUUCAUUUCACUCAUUAUUUUACAAAACCGAAUUUGUGCAUUUUGGGUAUAUGCACCUACAUUUUCAUAUGCAUAAUUAUGGAUUGUGGAUGAUGGUUGUUUAAUAUUUGGAUAUGUUAUAUUUGGAUGAUGUUUUAUGCUUAAGUCUUAUGUGUUGCUUGAUAACUUGGUGGAGUUGUUGGUUUGUUAUACUUAUUAAACCUUAUAUGGAAGUGUUUUUAACUAUGUUGUGUAUUUGAGGAUUUGUCCAUUUUAAGGGGAGACUCUGACGAAAUUUUUUCUCGCACAAAAUUGGUAAUAUCUUUAUCGAAUUAUUUUUGAUGCUUUUGUUUCAAUUGUAUCUAUCUAUUUUUUUAUGAUAAAGGGGGAGAUAAAAAUGAUAUGUUUUUGGAUAAUAUGCAUUUUGGAUAAAUUUUUUAAUUGGCCAUAUAUUUAGGGGGAGCAUAUAAUAUGAUUUUGGAUAAUAUGCAUUUUGAGCAUUCUUUUGAUGGCAUGAUGGUUCAUGAUCAUUUAAUGGUUAAUUGGAUGUUUGGUUAUUAUAUAUAUAUUUUUUAUUAACCAUUGACAUAUUAUUGAUCUUAGCAUGAAUUUCUAAUAAUUUUGAUGAUGAAGGGGGAGAAGUCAUGUAUUUUGAAUAUAGAGACAUAUAAUAUGUAUUUUGAUAUUGAAGUAUUUAUGAAUGGUUUUGAAAUAUUAAGGGGGAGUUUUUGUUUUGAAUUUGAUUUAUAUGUUUAAUUAUAUAUGCCAUGUAUUAAGGGGGAGUAUAAAUGUCAAAAUACAUGAGAUGUUUGUCAUCAUCAAAAAGGGGGAGAUUGUUAGCCUAAAGGGCUAUACAUAAUGUAAUUUUGAUGAUAACAAACAUAUGUAUUGAGUGAUUUAAUAAAUAUUGUAUUUCACAUUUUUACUAGUUUUUGAAGGAUAAUAUUUAUACAAGUAAAUCAAGUGAAAUCAAGAUUGAAGACACUCAACGGACAAUGGCGACAUCAAGAAUAGUUUAGAGCUCAACGAACAAAUUAGUGCAAUAAAUUCUUGUAAAGCCGGUAUGAUUUAAUUGAUGUUUGAUUUAGCAUUUGAGAAGCUCAAGAAAUUAAUUUAAUUAAAUAAUUUUCAUAAACUAAAAGUUUUUGUUUUUAUAAAGAAAAGUAUUUUGUGAAUUUAAGUAAUUUGGACUUAAAUGCUAAGAUUUGAAAUCUUUGAUUUUAAUAAGUAUUAAAUUUCGGAGUUGGACGUUUUUACAAACAUUUGAAAUGUUUUGGGCCAUACUAUAAUUUAUGAAUAUUUUGGACUAAAGUGAAAGAUUUUGAGAACUUUGAAAAAUAUAGGUAUUAUGUUGAAAAGGACCUUUGUGUGAAACAAGAAAAUCUUUGGGGCCAUAUCAUAAUUUCAGAAAGUUUGAGAAAGACAUCUAUUUUUAUGAAGUUCUGAAAUUGGACCUAUUUGCAAAGUUUUCUGACGUUUUGGGCCAUAGUAUAAUUAUAGAAAGUUUUGGGCUAAAGUGUAAUUUUUGUGAACAGUAGUACUGUAGCAUAAUUCAAAAAUAACGGUAAUAUUACUGUUCCUGAGCGGCUAGCCGGAUAAUCAAGCGGCUAACCGCUUGAGCGCUGGAAUUUGCCUAUAACGGCUAGUUUUUGGGCUUUCACUAUAAAAACUCAACUCAAACUUCAUUUUAAGAACUAACACAAGCAAAUAUAAGAUCAUAUAACAUAUAUUGAGCUUCCAUUUCGUAAAUCAUCAUUUGUUGAAUCAUCAUUGAGCUAUAAUUUGUUAUUCACUCUUAAAGAGAGUUUUAUUGUUGUGAAUUUCAUUUCUCAUCAAUUUGUGAGUGUACAAGUGUGGGAAACACUUGGGGUGAAGAGAUUGGGGAUAUAAUCUCUUGUUGUAAAGGUUCAUUGACACCUUGGAAGUCAAUUGUAAACAUUUGAAGCCUUGGGAGGCUUGGAUAGUGAAAUCCUCAAGCCGGGUGAGCUUGGAGGCGUGGACGUAGGCGGGGAUAGCCGAACCACGUAAAAAUCCUUGUGUUCGUUUUCUCUUCCCUUACUCUUUUAAUAUUGUACUUGAUUGAAUUUAUUGUUUUUGAUUUGAUUAAGGCGGUAGAUUAAAUUGUUGUGCGAAUUGUAUUGCAUAAAAUUUAAAAUCCCAAUUCACCCCCCCUCUUGGGUUGCAUAACUUGCAUUUCACGAAGGUCCCGUCCCCAAGUUCGUCUGCCGCAAAAAUGCCCUAAAAAUGGGUGGAUCUCAUAACCGGACAAAUAAAUUAUCUUUAAGCCACCAAAACUAUUUGAAAAUUUUUGGGCAAUGGAAAAUGCUAUUUCCACAAAAUCAAAAGAAAUUAAUUUUCCUAUGUCGGAUGGACACGGUGUUGGUUCGAUUUAGAAUUAAUCCAUAAUUUGGUUCCCCUUUUUUUGGUUUUUUAAAGUUCAUUCAUUUGUAUUUUGUGAUUUUUUUUAUGUUACGUUUACUAAUUCUUAAUUAGAAUGGAUGGAAUCAGAAUGUUAAUUAAUAAUCAGAAUAAUUUUUUUUACUUUACUUAUAGGAAUUGGAAUCAAAAUGAGUUGUAUUACUAUUAAUCUAUUUAUUUUGUCUUGGAAUCAAAAUAGAUUAUUACAAGUUACUAAAAUAACCUAAGUUGAUUAUUUUCAUUAUUUAUUAUAAUAUUUUUUAUUAUGAUUAUUGUCAUUCAAUAUAAUUAUUGUUAAUAAUAAUAAUAAUAAUAAUAAUAAUAAUAAUAAUAAUAAUAAUAAUGACGACAAUGAUAUAUUAUUAUUACUACUACUACUACUAGUACUAUUAUUAUUGUAUUACUAAUGAUAAAUAAUUUAGGACCUAUUUGAAAGUGGCAAAAAUUAAUUAGGGUAAUUUAAAAAUUAUAAAAAUUUAAUGGGGGUAAAAUAAAAAGUUUAAGGAAAAGAAACUUGAUUCUCAACAUUCCUUAAUAGUUAAUUCAAAAACAUAUGAGUCUCAUAUAUUUCAUUCUCAUUCUCACUUCUACUUUAACAAAUAAACGCUAUCAAUCAUUCUCAUUUUAGAUUUUGAUUCAUCAAUCCUACAAAUAAACACACCUUUAAUAUGAACUGAUCGAUUUUUAUUGAUUUUUGUAACCAAACCACAUCAAAUUGAACCAUUGGUGCUGUUUGGUCUUUUAGUGGGCAUUGAUUUUUUUUUGUCCACCCCUAUCCAUGCCUAUAAAGAAGGGUUUUUGUACACUCCUGUUUAGUGUUGCAUUAGCUCUCCGUGAGUCCUUCUUUAAUUAAAAAAAAAUGUAGGGUGGGUGUAUAAUAAAAGAAGCGGGAGUUAUGUAAUAAAAAAAAAAUUACUUAUUUGUAGAAUUGACUUGAAGAUAAAGGGGCAUGUGAGUGAUGUCAAGGUUGAGCUUUAAAAAAGCUCAUAGGAGUGGUCUUCAUGGAUCAAAUACCUUACGUAGCCCACUUAUAAAAUUGGGCCUUCAAAAGAGUUUUAAGUCAACCACUGUUGAACUUGUUCAUCUUCAUCCGACCUUGUGACAUGUUUUGGUUUUUUUUUUUUUUGUUAAUCUCUCUGAUUCUUUUUAGUUUAUUUUUAUUUAUUUAUUUUUAAAUAGAAUUUUAUGCUAACUAGUAUUAUGAAUAUUCUUGUUCAAAUACGUACAUGGGUAGAGUGGAAUGCUUAACACUCGGUAACAAUGAAAAUAGUAAUAUUAGUAAUCAUUUGAAAAGUUUUAGUUUAUAGUCUAAUAUAUAGCCUGGUGCUUAGGUUCAGAUGUUCAGAUGAAUUUAAAAUACAGAAUUAAAAGAUAAGAAAAAUACGAACUAGAAUGCACUAUUCUUGUCUUUAGUGUAUCGAAGUUUAUAUCUUCUUUUUCUUUUUUAAUCUUUCAACUCCAUCCUGAUAAUUUUAAAAUAUGAAUGUCAGCAAUUAAGCAUGACUCAUCAUAUGCUAUAUUAAUUUAAAUAUACAUUUUGCAUUAAAAAAUAAAGAAUACUAAAUUCUAGUUUGUAAUCAAUCCUUCUAAUAAAAAGACUUGUUUAAUAUAGUAGUAAGUAUCCUACAACACCAUCAUCAUGAGUUUUAAUUUGACUUUUAAGAACGGACAAAGAUCCUCUUUUAAUAUUUUUUCCCCUAAUCUUUUCAAGUGAAAUAAGUGGUUAAGAUUGAAUUUUAACAUCAGAUAUUGACGAUCAAGCCAAAUUUUUUUCACUUUAUUUAGAAAUAAAUUUAUAAAUAUUGAAGGACUAAGAGAGAUUAAAAGAGAUUGAAAAAAAAGAGAGAAUCCUAAUCCUUGAAGAACAAACCCAAAUUCUCUAUCCUAUCAAAUGAAAUUCUAAUGCAAAAUAAAGAAAAAUGAUAGGUAAAAAUCAGUGCUCUAAAAGUGAGCGGAGAAUUGAUUUUUCUUCCCUUACUUUAUAAAGAGAUGGUGCUAAUAAUAAUAUACUUAAACAAAGUUGUAGUGGGGAAUAAACAUAGCAUGCUAAAGCCUAAUAAUAACUAAUAAUGGGAAGAAAUGCAGCAUGCCGCAGCAUGAAAUUAAAAUCAGCCUAAUCAGGUUAAUCAAUAUCUUGUGUGGCAAUCUUUAGCACCUUCAUUCCAUCUUUUAUUUGCUUACUUUUCCUAUGAAGAAACAAAUGGAAAAAAGGCAGAUUUUUAGCUACCAAUCAAAUUCAACACCCCCAAUACCUUUCGAGAGAAGUGGACAUCUUUAGCAAUUUGGUGGUUUUUUUUUAAUAUUUGAAUACACUUGAAGUAGUCUGAAUUGUAAAUAAAGUUGAAUGUCUGAAUUUAAAUAAUAUAUUUUUAAAAUUGUUAAAAAUAAGUAUUAAAAUAUUUUUUAACUUAAAAAAUCCAAAAACUAUUAUUUUUACAUUUGUGCCCUUAUAAAUGUGAAACAAAUAAUCACACAUAUUAAAGAAUACAAAUAAAAUAAUAUAUUAUGAACACAAAAAAUCAUACUCAAUUGAAUACAAUUCUUUAAUAUUCUUAAUUAGUACAUGUUAAUUGAUUUUAUUGUAAUUUACGAUGUUUUUAUAUUGUUCAUAAAAAAAUAUGAAGAUAAUAAUGCUAAUUUGAAGAAAAUAAAAAGAUAAAAUAAUAAUAGUCUAUCAUUACAUCAACACAAGUUAUAGAGAUAGAUAAUAAUGUUAAUUAUUAAAUUUUAUUCAAGUAAGGAAGAAAAUCGAAUUAAAUUGGGAUAUUUUGGAGAAUAUCUUUUAAUGAUUAUCAUUAAGACUUUUUAGAUUGAGCAAAAAGCUAAAAAAAAUUGGAUAAUAACUUAAUGAUUUAAUGACUGAAAAUUUUCGUUAAGUUGAAAAAACAAACGGACUUAAUGACUUAAUUGAUUGAAUUUAAGUUAAUUAAGCCAUUAAGCAAAACAAACAAACAAACAAACAGGCCCCUCUUUAGCUUUGCUUUGCAUGCACUCAAAAUCUUGAUAAAAACCCCUCUUUUAAAUUUACAAUUGUAACCUCAAAGGAAAAUUAUAAAUGACAUUAAAAGACAAAGACAAGAACUCAUCUGUGCUCAAUUAUUCAUAAUCUUCUAUCACAAAUACAUGUACAUUAAUAUUUGACUAAGAUUUAAUUAGUUUUAUAUUAUUAUCUAAUAACUACCAAUUAUAUUUCUAAAAUGUUAGCAAAAAGUUCAAUUCAAUCUUGAAUUUAAAUCCUAUUAUUAUGUGUGGCCUUUUCAGUACUUCAUAUGAGUUUUGCUUGGUCUCUUUAGGAACUAUUACAUAGUUUAUGAUUUUAUCUCUUGUUUGGUUGUUGAUGUUUUUUGAAUUUUGAUAAUAUAUGUAACUUGCAAGUAGUUUGAGUUUUUUUUUUCUCAUUUGCACAAUGAUUUAAAAGAAUAAAAAAAUGAAAAAGGUCAAGAGUAAAGUUUUGUAUCCCAAUAUUCAAGUCCUAAUUUAAGUUUCAGCUAAUAUAAUACUGAUAUAACGUUCAUCUAUUGAAUGGUAGUUAAAUAAUUUAUUGAAUGAUAGUUAAAUAAUUUUAGAAGUUAUAAAUUAUAUUAUCUAAUAAAUGAAUGGUAUUUGGAUUUAAGUUAAGAUUCAAAUGUUGGGAUGUCCAAUAUUAUUGAAAACUUAAUACAGUAACACUGGCCAAGUUCGAAUAUUCAUCACACUCGAGAAACAGACAAAUUGAAUACAUACCUCAAGAAGAUCCAACAAUAAUACAUGUCAUGCUCUUAUUUUAUCAUAAGUGGCUAGUAUAAUUAAUGAAAGUAGCAGUGUACCAUACAUUCUGAUUUCUCAAUCUUGAUUCUUCUUCCAGACAGCCGGCUUGUCAAGAGCAAAAGGGGAAUUUUUCAGAUUGAAGCAACGACUAACCUCUGCAUAACGUAGUAUAGGUAGGGAUGGCAAAAAUCCCCACGGGGACGGGUACCCUUGGGAAUUUUCCCCAUUCGGGGAGGGUAUGAGGAUCAUUUCAUACCUAAUUUCUUAUUCGAGAGGGGACGGGGAUGAGGUGGAAUCCCCUUCCCCUACUCAUUUCCCCAUUUUAAUUUUUAAUUUUAUUUGUGCUUAAGAUUAAUCCAUUUUGGCAGAAUUUCGUGACGGUAUCGCCUGAGGUAAAGCUCCUGAAGGCUCGGAGGAGGCAAAAGCCUAUCCACCAUCUGUGGUACAUGUUUUUCUUUACAAUCCUCUGCAUCAACAGCUAAAACCUUGAGUUUCUCGAGCUGUGAUAAGACAUUCCAUUCAUCUUCCGAGAUUUCACUCUCAUUAUUUAUGGACAUUCGUAGAACUCUUAGCUGCUUCAGUCCCAGCAGCUCGUUAAGUCGACAGCCUUGUGCGUUCGCCACCCGAAAUCCAGACAGCUCCUGGAGAUAAAUUAGCUUCUUGAGUCCACGAGGUAGAUACUGGAGAGGACAAGAUCCGAGGUCCAAGAUGAUCAACUUCUUCAAACUAGUAAUUGAUGGAUGUAGUUUGGUGCACCUCCUCAGAACAAGUAUUUGGAGAUUACGAAGCUUUUGAAUUGAAGAUGGGAGCU